UUCUUUCCUGGCACCACCAUUGUUGCGCCACCUCUAAAUUGGUAAAUUAAGUCGGGGAUUUUUAUGGAUUUCUGGCCUGUAAAAUUAUAACAAGGUGUGACACCGAUCUCGGCUUCUGCCUCAAGAGAUCUCCUAUACUUGGACAUCCGCUUUUUCAACUCAUUUGUCACUUUCUUAAAAACCGGUCCUGUCAUGUAUCCGUACGCGAAACCAGAAUCUAUCAUGAGACCACCUCGGCCGUCAGAUCCUGGAGCCAGAUACUUGCUUGGAAUCCUGAGGAGCUUGUUCCCGAUCUUGAUAUCUUUGACACCCAAGUAAUAGUAAAUCGGGAAGUCAGGAGGGUUCUUGAGAAAGGGAGCGUAGGAAAGUCCUUUGGUUUCGCCGUCACUGUAGUCCAAAAUCAACUUGCUGCUGUUCCGGGUGUCAUCAUAGUCGUGAGAAUUGAGACAGUAAGCAAACUUCUUCACACCCAUCUGCAUCGGUAAUGAGAACAUUGAGCGACCGAACCCCGCAAGUGCGGCAGAAGUAACUUCACCAACAGCGGAUGUUGUACACCCAACAAGAAAUUCGUGAAUUGUCUUCCCGGGAAAGUUUAGGUUUUCUAAAAGAAAAUCUCCAGAUGAUGCUCCUGUGCCAUACUGAAGACUGUAGGGUGGGCAAGCGUGCGAGCAAUUUUUGGAAUUGCCAUUGCAGGGGGGGCACCCAAGGUGAACAUCUGGGGAAGAAGUGUUUACACAUUUGGGAUUUCUGCACCCCAAGAUCUUAGAAGAUGACGAAAGUUUGGGAUUGAAGAUUGGGACCUUUUUGGGUUCGGCAUCUGAAAAAGAACAGUUAGUGCAUGUAUAGUGAGUUGUACACGGGGCCCAUACUACAUGACUUCCUGUGUCCACCAGGAAGGAGAGUUUUUGUGGAGGAGUGCCGAAGCUGAGAGGGAUGCUAUGACCUCCAUAACUAUGAGGAGAAAGAGAGAUUUGUGUGAGAGGGCUGGUCUUACCAUGUUUCAAAUGAUGGGCUCUGGACAAGGAUGCAGUGGCAAGGUGUUGGAGAAACCGCAAGGGUUUGGUAGAUGGGCUGUUUGUAAAUGUUGAUGUUAGAGGGAUGGUAAUGGUGGCAGGCGUGUUAUCUUUGGAGGAAGAUGCCAAGAGAAGGAGAGAGAAGAGAGUAAAGACAGAGAAAAGCAAAGAAGUAGAAGAAGUCAUGGCUUCAGAAGUGCACACUAGUGAAAGUGGUAGAGAAAAUCGUUUAUAUAGACAAUGACAUGCGUGGUUUAUAUGCAAUAAUUUUAAAAUCCAUUGUCAAUUUUUUAUGGGAAAUUCCAAGCGCAGGGAAACAAAUGGGGAUUUGUCUUAUAAAAACUUUAUUAAAAAGAUUGUUUGUAAAAUAGAUACAAAAUAUAUAAAUUUUUUUUUCUUGUGACUUUGAACGUUAUCUUGUCCUACUCAUCUUACUUUCAUACUAAACCCUGGAAUUCACUUUCAAUACUGAAUUCCAUAUUUUUAAAGGAAUAAAUUGUUUUUUACAUUGAAAGUUUUAAAAUUGAAUUUAUUUUUUCAAGAAGAUGAGUUUAAUGUUAUUUUUGAGAUUAUUUUUUUAUAGGACCUUUUUUUUUCGAAAGAAAGUAUUAUAAUUAUGCAAAAAGCCAAACGAAUGGAUAAUAAAACAAUGGAGCAACACCACUUAGUAUUGGAAGAGUGCAUCAGUUGUAAUGUUCUCCAUACCAUACUAAAAAAAAUAAGAACAUAUUAUUUCUAAAUUUGUUGGUCAAGAAAGCAGCAGAAGCUAACAGGCCCCACUGGGCCAAGUUUACCCCUUAAAUUUAUUGAGUGGAUUAAGGAGGGCGGAUUAGUCUUCAAUUCUCAUUUUGGUUUCUCCCUUCAAUCCUUCCUUCUUUUGUUUUUAAUUGUUAUGAACUUGUCCUAGUUCGAUCCAUCCGAACUCCACCUUCCCCUUGUGAUAUCAAAUAUCCUUUGACCGGAAAGAGUCUAGGGUCAAUAUGAAAUGGAUUUGAUUGACCAAAGACUUUAUUGCCUCGUCCUUGCGGAGACAAACACACUUGAGAAACAAAAACAUAUAGGACGGGGAUCCGGCUAGUAGGAAUUGAAAUCAUCGAUGAGAUAUUUGUCUUCUUCCUUUUGUUAUGUUUCUCUCUUCAAUCUUUUUAAAUACCAUGUAUUGUGUGUGUGUGGGACUGCAGCUGCAAAUAAUGUAGUUUACUGCUCGUUUUGUAUCUAUCUAUGUUUUCUUUGUGAGGAGACUCUAGCCUGCUGCGUAAACUCCCCUCUAACCUUACAAAAAUAAAAUAAAAUAUGAUGUGUUUUAAUAAAAAAGAAAGUUAAUUGGAUUAUGUUAGUACCUCAGCACAUUGACAUCAAGUCUCAUAUGGUAAUAACUUACACUCAUGAGAUAUGCGUAGCUCGUCUUGUAAAAAAAUCAAGUAUGAGACUUCUGGCGGUUGAUAUUUUUUUUCAAAGAUGAUGCAUUGAGAAAAGGUUCUUAGCGGUGGGAAAAUUAGGGGAAUGUUUUUUAAAAAUAGUUAUGAAAAACAUUUUUUUAAAAUAUUUUUUUAAAAUUGUUCUUUAAUAUUUUAUAGACUAAAGUAGUGUUUGUUUUUUUGACUUUUUGCUGAAAGUAAUUUAGGUGGUGUUUGUUUUUUUACUUGAUUAUAAAUAGAACCUUAAUACUUAAUAGUAUUAAAUAUUAGGUUGUUUGUUUUUGUAAUAUUUUAUUUCUAUUAGGUAUUAAAAAGUAAAAAAAAACUAUUGGUGUUAUUUUCUCUCAUUACAAAAAAGCCCNNNNNNNNNNNNNNNNNNNNNNNNNNNNNNNNNNNNNNNNNNNNNNNNNNNNNNNNNNNNNNNNNNNNNNNNNNNNNNNNNNNNNNNNNNNNNNNNNNNNCAUAUUUUGGUUUUUUGUAUGUAGUAAAAAGUUUAUAAUAAGGCAUGAAAAAGUAAAAUAAGCAAUUUACCUAAAUUCUAAAACUAAAUGGUUUUAAGCAAAAAGCCAAAAAAACAAACACCACUUUAGUUUUAAAAUUUAGGUUGUUUGUUUUUUUAUUUUUUCAUGAUUUAUUAUAAACUUUUUACUAAAUAGAAAAAGCCAAAAUAUGUAGUUUUUUCUAAAUAGAAAAAAUAACAUAUUAGUUUUUUUUACUUUUUAAUACUUAAUAGAAAUAAAAUACUACAAAAACAAACAACCUAAUAUUUAACACUAUUAAACAUUAAAGUUCUAUUUAGAAUUAGGUAAAAAAACAAACACCACCAAAAUUUGUAGCUUUUUCUAAAUAAAAAAAAUAACAUAUUGGUUUUUCUUUACUUUUUAAUACUUAAUAAAAAUAAAAUACUACAAAAACAAACAACUUAAUAUUUAACACUAUUAAGCAUUAAGGUUCUAUUUAUAAUUAAGUAAAAAAACAAACACCACAUAAUGUCAACUUAAAAACUUGAAAUUUUUUUAAUAUGUUUUUAAAAAUAAUUUUUAUAUCUAGUAUUUUAUUUUUAAUCAUUCUUUAUGUUAAUAUAAUUAUUCUUUAAAAAAACCUUAAAAAACAAGUGAUAAUAACUAAAAAAUGUUAUUUAGAAAUAUUAUAUUUUUUAUUUUUAAGAAUAGAAAACAGAAAAUGAUUAUCUGAUUGUGUGGACUCAUAUUUUUCUUGUGCAUUUUCACUUGAUGACAAGACUUGUUUUUAUUGUAAAAAAAAUAUUUUUUUGAAAAUCAGAUUCGAUACCUAUUUUGUUUAUUUUUAAAAGAGAAUAAAAUAAGAAAAAAAAUCAUAUUAUAACUCAUUUUUAAAGGAAAAGACAUAUUUGCGAAAAAACCAAAUCCAAAUCUAGGAGUCGGGUUCCUUAGUGAGAAAAUAUCAUGAGGUGAUAUCCCUUUAAAGCCUAAAAAUCUCUCUACUAAGCAAGUUAGGAGAAUUGUGAUAAUUAAUUAAUCAUAAAUACAAAAAAAAAAUGUCACAAAUAUAUACAUGUCAAUGACAAAAACAUAUUAUAAGAAUACACAAUUAAUAACAAAGGAAAUGCAUAAAGUGAUUUAUUAAAUUGAUUAAAAAGUUAUUUGAUUAUUUUAAAUAUUAUAACAUUUUUUAAAAAUUUCAAAAAGAAUUUAUUUAUAUUAAAAACAAUUUCAAAUUAAUAAUUUCAAUUUAUUUAUUUACAAACAAAGUUUUAACUUAUUUAUAACAAAUUAUUUGAUUCAAUUUUAUUUUUGUAUUCAAGUUUUAUUUUCAAGAAAGUUAAUUAUUCAGAAUUCAAAUGUAAUCAUUUCACUACAAGAUCCUCUUCAUAGUUUUAUUGCACUUAAUUAUACUAUUAUACAAUGAAUAAUGGAAAAUUGAAUCUCAAUUUGUACAUUGAUUUCAUUUUUUAAUUACUUUCAACAAAUAUUUUUUUAGACUUAAAAUCUUCAUUUAUUUCUCAUUUUUAUUAAUUUAUGUUACAUUUUUUGAAAGAAGAAAUCUAUAUUUUCAUAAUUGCGGCUCAAACCUAAAAUAUCAAAUAAAUUUGUUCCUAUUUAAACGUUCCUAUAAUUUGGUCACCUCAUGUACGCCACCACCAAUGCAAACAUGGGACGACAUGUGUUCAUCUACACCAAAAAUGGUUUGUUAUAAUUUAUAAGACUAUGGAGAAGUGGAGGAAGAGAAUAUUCUGAUUUGGUCACCUCGUAAACGAGGAUUGAUCAUGAAAGUUGAUUGAAGUAGAAAAUCCGGAGGCAGUCUACACUUUUUGGCACCAAGAUUUCAUUUUGUAUAUAAAAAAAAUUAGAAGAUUUUAAAAUUAGUAAGAAUAACGAGCCUAUUUGGCUAUUUCCUAUCACAACCUGUGGCUUACUAGUAUUGCAUUAAAUAACAAAAGUACUAAGAAAUAUUAAUAAAAAUAUUUUUUAUUUUACGGUCACUCCACCAUUAGAUUAGACCUUACACUCAAAACCAAUGAACCUUGGUCAGACAAAAUGCUAUCAUAGAUCUAGCUAGCUCACAAACUUCUUUUAUGAUAAUUGAUUUUAAGAUUAUUAAAUAUCCUAUAAACUUUUAUUAAGAUAAUAAAUAAGUUUUUGGUAAAUCAAUUUAAUAACUUAAUUUAAAUCAUUAAGUAAAUUAAGUAUGUUUGAUAAUAUAAUUCAAUGAUAUGACUUAAAGUAAAAAACAAUUUUAAGUAAUAAGUAAAAACGAUUAAUUUAUUCUUAAAUUCAUGUAUUUAUUUUAUCUUUUCAUCUUUAUUGUUGCUCAACCUUUUUAUCAUAAUUAUAAUUUAUAAAGAUAAAUAUGUUAAUUUGAUGAUUUAAAAUAAAUUUUAAGUUAAUUUUAUUAAACAAUCUUGAUACUUAAAAUAAGAAUUAAAUAAUAAGUUUUAAGUUAAUAACUUAAAAUCAACUCAAGUUAUUAAGUGAUAAGUAUACAAUUUUACUAAACACCCUCUAAGUUAUCAACUUCUUUUAAAUACUAUUUUUGUAAAUAAUUUAUUUAUUUAUUAUAUAAUUGAAUUUAUUUAUUAUAGUAACAUUAACAAUAUAAAAAACAUGUUAAUAAUAUUUCAGUUCCAUAAAUAUUUAUUUUACAAAAUAUUAGAUAAUACUAUUCUUAAAUUGUGUUUUAAAAAACAGUUACCAAAUAUGGACUAAAUAUCUCCUUUCAAAAUGUGGCUUCCAAUUCUAAAAGCAUAGCAUUGGAAAUUCCUUGACGUAAAUGAAUAAGAAAGUAAAAAUAUAAUAAAUGAUAAAUAAAAAACAUUAUAUUUUCUAAACAUAUCAAAAUUUUCCAUUUUUCUAUUAAUGCUGAUUGCAUACAGGCAUGUGCGUAAUUAAGGGUAGGCGGUAUUCUCCCAACCGCCAUCAUACUCAUACAUUACUUAGCCAUACACUGUCCUCCAGGGUUGCUAUUAUUAACUAUUUCUGGUCAUCACACAUUUACCAGCCAGUGGCAGUGAUGCCAUCGACUAGCAAGUUUGUUGUUGGGAACCAAGACGCUCAUUUUUGAGGUCAUACUCCACGUAAUAAUCCACAUGCUGAGAAUUGCCCAGAAUAAUAGACGGUGCCAGGGUGAUUUCCAAAGUGUUGGUGCCUGCAUCAGAUAAUACAAAUAGAGUUUAAAUAGGUUUACAUCAAAGAAAAAAAAACUAAUUUACUCUACCCUUAAAAAAAGAUAAUAAUUCUAAUACAGUAAAUAAAUAAGUCUAACACUCCAUUUAUUAUAAUUUUUUUUUCUUUUCAUAUUAUAUUCUAUAAGUAUUUUUCCUCACUUAGAACUAAAUAAAAAAAUAUAUCAUUACCAUAAUUCAAAAUCACUUUCUAUUUUAAGUGCUUUUAAAUAUCAUGAUAUCAUAUCUUAUUAAAAAUUAUAUUUUAAAAAUAUUUAUACCAAAUCCAAUGGAAUAUGAUGUAAUAAAAUAUACAUAUCUUUAUUUUAUCCUCUCCCACCUAUCAACGUAAACUUAAUCUCUACUUCAAAGCUUAAAUAACCACAUUCAUAUUCAAACAAUUAUCCAAAAGCUUUUAUGCGUAGUUAUAUAGAAAGCCAACAUUACCCGUCUCUAAUUUAAACCACACAACAAAUAUAAAAAAAGAGCACGAGACCCAAGCUCAAUUUUGUGAGGAUGAGAUAUUUGGCAAACUUUAACUUUAGCAUGGUCAUUUUUUAAUUAAUUCGAGAAAAGAAAGGCUUUUGUCUCCGAAGAAUCGGACAUCAAUAAUUAAUUAUUUUUUCACGUGUUUCACUUAGAGUAGUCGUAGUAGCUUGUUGAAGCUAGCAUAUAAUUGAAUUUGUUGAGUAGCAUCCCUCCACGUGGAAAUGGGGCCCACUUCAAUGAAUUUAAAAAGUAAAUAAAAAACUAUAUACAUAGGAUGAAAAAAGUGAUGUGGGCUAUUUCACAUGUACAAAAACGUGGAAACCUAAGAAAAAGAAAAAGAGAGGAGAGAAAACGAGUGUGGAAAGUGAUGUGAGGUGUGGAUUAUUUGAAAAAGAAAAAGAGAGAAGCGAGAACAAGUGUAGAAAGUGAUGUGAGGCGUGGGUUAUUAUCAUUAUUUUUCGUAGUGAAGAAUUUUAACGGAUUAAGUUUCAUGGCUUUUUUUUUUUCAUAAUAGAGUUUUUUUUUUCAAAAAAUUUGAUGUUUUGAUUUUUUUUGCUUUGUCUUUUUUAUUUUAUCCAAUUUAUCUCUUGAAUAUUUUAUAAUUAUCACAUAUAUUUAAUCACACAAAAAAGAAAAAAAAUUAAUUUUAGAACAAUUAUUAUUUGUACAUUUUUCCCAACAAGAUUAUAUCUUCCAAUACCUCUCAUUAGACAAUUUUUAAUUCCCAAAUCCAAUUUUGGAUCAAAUAAAUGCAGGCUAGCAUAGUAAGGCAAAAAUUUUAAAGAUAUAAAAGGAGAAAAUAAAGUAUAUAUACUAAAGCUUAUUGUUAGCCCAAGGGUUCUCAUAAUCAUAUUUUGAUGAUAACAAAAUAUGAUUAAAUUAUUAAUUAAUUUGAAUUAUAAAAAAUUUCAGGUAUUAAUUUGUAAAUUCAUCAAAGAAUUUAAUGAAUGUGAGAUCAAAACUUUUGAAAAACCUUUUAAUCAUAGGAAACUAUGUAAGAUGAAUGCAUGAGUAUACUUAGGAUUUUCAUAUCAUUUCAUACAUAUUUAAAAAUUCAGUUUAUGCAUUAAAGUUACAUUUCCAUCAAAAUCCAAGUUCUAUCAAAUAAACCUUAGACAAAACGUUUCAAAAUUGACAUAUUAUUUUACAUAAAAACUUUGCUUAAGUGUUAGAAACAAAAAGACCAGAAAAAUAUAGGUUUUCGAGCCAAAUAUGGUAAACUGGUCGAGACAUUGGUCAAUUGGCGCAACCGGCUAGAGUAUCGGUCACUCAUUCCUGAUCAAGGUUCAGUCAAGAGAUGCAAAAAACAUUUUAUCUCUUCCAAUAGCCCUUCUUUCCCGGUCGAAGGAUAUGUCUUCUCGGUCGAGGUCCAGUAAAAGGUAAUGAUCACUUAUCAAGCAUUUAAUGUUCCAACGACUAGUAAACUAGCUAACCCUUAGCUCGAUCGAUCGAUUUUUUUUUUUUGCUUUUUGGCUCUGAAUGUUAUAAACCUAUAAAUUAAGAGAUCCACUUCAUUUAUAAGUAAGAGAACACCUACAUUUAUUUAUUUACCUACUUGUUUUUGCCAUAAAAGCUCUUAUUAUUUUCUUGGUGCAUUAAAUCUCCAUCUCCAUUUCCAUAUUCUUUGGUGCACCUUUGUGAUUCAUCCUAGUCUUGAGUUGUAUUUGAGUCAUUGUUGAGAGAUUCAAACUUGUUAAUUAAGUGUUAAAACUUUCAAGUGAGUAGAGACUUAAAGAGGUUAUGUAAGAACUCAUUGGAGCCGAAAUCCAAGAGUAAAAAGUGAUUAGAAGUUUAGUUGAAACUUUAAGUAUAAGUGAAACCCUCACUCGAUUAGGAGUUUGAGGAGAGUGGAUAUAGGUAAAGAAGUACUGAAUCACAAUAAAUUUGAGUUUGUUUUUUAUAACCUUAUAUCUUUAUUUUUUUGCUUCUUGUGUUUAAUUUUAUUGUGUUUAAAAAUAUUUUUUUUUUAAACUCCAAUUCACCCCCUCUUGGAUGUUUUUAUCUAUUUAGAUUAGCAAUUUAUUUUCUCACUUACAAUUAUUUUUUAUGUUUAAAAAUUCAGUAUUAUGUUUAAGCAUGAACAAAUCUUCCCCAUACUUAUUUAUAUAAGUUAAAGUUUAUUUUAAUUUAUUUAUUUUAGAAUGAAAAUGAAAACAUUUCAUUUAUACACAAUUAAUUGUAAAUGUAUAUAAGUCAAAUCUUAAUUACCCCCUUGAUCUUGUAGUCAAUGUGUGGAAUCCAUUUCACAAAUACCACAGGAUUUGUGUUGAUUGACGAUUGGGAGGCUUAUGUUAUAUUGAAUAUGAAAGUUAUGUUUAGUUUUUGAAAAAUAACAAGGAAAGAAAAAAAAAGGUAUUAAGAAACAUGGUUUUCUCAUUUUUAAUUCUACGGCAAAAAAUAUAUCAAAUAUUUAUAUAUAUAUUUAAAUUAUUUUAUCUUUAAAUAAUAGAGAGAAAUAAGUAAAAUAAGUUUGAAAAAAUAUAUAAAAAUAAUUUAUUAAUUCUAAUUUUUUUUUCACUUUUUUCUACUACUAUUUUCUCAAAUUUAACCAAAACAAUCAUAGUCAACGGAAAUUUGUCCAUAAGGAAUCUUUCUUUUAUUAAAUUACCAGUAAAAUUAAGACAAAUGGCAAACCACCAUAUUUAUAUAACAAUAGCCUCCAUAAUAUGGAUCUUUCUAAAUGAGGCGAGUUUGAGACGAGCCACCCGUCCCAUUUAUUCCAAACAAUUUCUAUUCUUAUCCUAUUAAAAAAGUUAAAUGAGGUGGGGAAAGAUGGGCUAGGGUGGGUAUGCAAAUUUCCCAAACCCGCUCCACCUCACUAUAUUUAACAUUUUUUUUUAAAUAAUAAUUUUUUACAAUUAUGUUUAAUUUUUUUAAUUACAUUAAAAUAAAAAUAUUUUAUAAAUAAUUAAAAUAUUAUAAUUUUUAUAACUUAUUUUAUUGAAAAAUAUUUUUUUUAUUAUAUAUUAAAAAUAGGAAAAUGAAAAUUAAAUUAAAUUAAUUUUAAAAAUUAAUUUUAUAUAUAAUCUAGAUGAUACCGGGCAAGACAAGGUAAUACCAUUUCAAACUGUCUUAGGUUUAAAAAAAAAAAAUCAAACAUGCUCAUAAUUUAUUUAUUUAAAUUUCAAACUCAUCUUAUGGACAUGUAUUUAAAAAAAAUUGUCUCAUUACCAUCCCUAACAAUAAACACUCAAUAUCUCCUUAAUUACAAAUAAAUGGGUACAAUUAUAGCUUCCAAUUCUAAAAAUAUCAACAUGGAAAUUCGUUACAUAACAUCAAUGAAUUCAAAAAGAAAAAAAAUAAUUAUAAAUAAAAAACAUUAUACUUUCUAAGCAUCCCAAAUAUUCCAUUUUUCUAUUAAUGCAUAUUGCAUUAAUAACAACUACUAUAUGGCAUCAAGAUGAAGUGUAAGUGGCACUUGAGUGUAAAAUUUAUAGUUAUGUAAAUAGGAUAAACCGAAGUAGACUUGUAGAACAAAUAAAUUUUAAUUAUUGGUAUUAGACAUAUUUGAUAAUUAUAAUUAUAUUUUUUUAAAAAUAAAAAUAAAAACGUUUUUUCUAAUUAAUAAUAUAAUAAGUAGAUUUUUUUUAAUGAUUUAUCAAUAAUCUUUCUAUGAUUUGCAAUAAUUUUUCAAUAUUUAUAUCACGAGACACUAAUUUUAUUGGUUUAGUCCACAUGAAUAUGACAUGGGUGACUUAUGAAUAUAAUUUCCCAUUUUAAAACCUGUUUAAAAAUUCUGAGAAUAAAUUUUAAAAAAAACCUUUAUUUUCAAAUUUUUGCUAAUAGAACUUCCACAGUAAAAAGUAAAAGAUUAAAGAUGCCAUAAACAUGAUUUAAAAACUUUCAAUUAUAAAAAUAAAAAAGCCGUCAAAAGCGACUAAAUUUAUAUUUAACAAGCUUCUUUUAUUCAAACUGGAGACUGUAAGCACAAAACCUUUCCAGUGGUCCAAUAAUACAAGCAAGCACGUAAUAAAAGGGUAGGCGGUAUUCUCCCAACUGCCGUCACACUCGUACAUUACUUAAGCAUACAAGAUUCUCCUAGGUUGCCAUUAUUAACUAUUUCUGGUCGGCACAUUAUGAAUUGUUUGCCCGGGAAAGUUGAGGUUUUCUAAUAGAAAAUAUCCAGACGAUUCUCCUAUGGCAUACGGAAGACUCUAUUGUGGGCAAUCGUGUGAGCAAUUUUUGGAAUUGCCGUUGCAGCGGGGGCACACAAGGUGAACAUCUGGGGAAAAAAUGCUUACACAUUUGGGAUCUCUGCACCCGAAGAUCUUAUCAGACGACGAAAGUUCGGGAUUGAAGAUUGGGACCUUUUUAGGGUCGGCAUCUGAAAAAGAACAGUUGGUGCAUUUAUAGCGAGUUGUACACGGGGCCCAUACUACAUGACUUCCUGUGUCCACUAUGAAGGAGAGUUUUUGUGGAGGAGUGCCGAAGCUGAGAGAGAUGCUGUGACCUCCAUAACUAUGAGGAAAAAGAGAGAUUUGUCUUAGCGGACUGGUCUUACCAUGUUUCAAGUGAUGGGCUCUGGACAAGGAUGCGUUGGCAAGGUGUUGGAGAAACAGCAAGGGUUCGGUAGAUGGGUUUUUUGUAAAUGUUGACGUUAGAGGGAUGGUAAUGGUGGCAGGUGUGUUAUCUUUGGAGCAAGAUGCCAAGAGAAGGAGAGAUAAUAGAGUAAAGACAGAGAAAAGCAAAGGAGUAGAAGAAGCCAUGGCUGUGUAGCUUAAGAAGCGCACACCAGUGAAAGUGGUAGAGAAAGUCCUUUAUAUAGACAAGGACAUGCGUGGUUUAAUGUUGUUUUUGAAAUUGAGCUUAUUUUUAGAAAAAGAUGAGUUUAAUGUUGUUUUUUGAGAUUAUUUUUUAUCGGACCCUUUUUUUUUUGGAAAAAAAAAAUUAUAAUUAUGCAAAAAGCCAAACAAAUGGAUAAGAAAACAAUGGAGCAACAGCACUUCGUAUUGGAAGAGUGCAUCAGUUGUAAUGUUCUGGAUCCCUUACUAAAAAAAAAUAAAAACAUAUCAUAUCUAAAAUUAUUGGGCAAGAAAGCACCAGAAGCUAAUAGGCCCCACUGGGCCCAAGCCCACCUCUGAAAUUUAGGAAGUGCAUUAAGGAGGUCGGAUAAGUCUUCAAUUCUGAUUUUGGUUUCUCCCUUCAAUCCUCUUUUUGUGUUUUUUUUUCUUUAAUUGUCAUGAGCUUGUCCUAGUUCUAUUUUUCCAGCGCUCACAUGCUUGGGUUUAAUAUCCGAACUCUACCUUUUCCCUUGUGAUCUCAAAUAUCCUUUGAUCGGAGAGAAUCUAGGGGCAAUAAGAAAUGGAUUUGAUUGAACAAAGAUAUUAUUGCCUCUUCCUUGCGGAGACAGCCACACUUACAAACAAAAACAUAAAGGACGGGAUCCAGCUAGUAGGAAUUGCAAUCAUCAAUGAGAUGUUUGUCUUUUUCGUUUUGUUACUUUUCUUUCUUCAAUCUUUUUAAAUAUCACGAGUUGUGUGUGGGAUUGCAGCUGUAAAUAAUGUAGUUUACUGCUCCUUUUGUGGCCAGCUAUGUUUUCUUUGUGAGGUGUGUGUGUUUAGCUAGGUUGAUAAUUUCAGAUAAAAUUUUUAAAUGUCUCCUAAUUCGAUUUAUCAAUUCUUUUUUGGACUAUUUGACUUAAAAAAUUAAUACUUUACUAAAAGAUCGAGAUAUGUAGCCGAGUGAUUGGUGUUUGAAUAUGAAUCAAUCCAGUUUUUAAUCUUUAAAUGUGUUAGAAAGUUAGGAUAAAUGAUUUUUGGUGCAAAGAUUUUAUACACUUGUUUUUGGAUCGAUCCAUGUGUAGGGGCAGAUCGAUCCAACUAACUUGUUUUAAGAUCAAAUCUCAACCAUUAAAUUAAAAGCUUCUUUUUACACUUUAAAAAGUAAUAUUCUCUCAUUUUUUUAUUGAGAGAGAUUGCAGAAAACGUGGGGAGAGUUGCAACCGCUCCAAGUGUUCUUCAUUUUUUCAUCUCUUUUCCUAAUUUGGGGUUUUUGAUUGCAAAGAAAAUCCACUUCUCUUAAUGUUUUCCAAACUAGUUUUUAAUGAAUUUUCUUGAGCAAUAAAUGAGUUGAUUCAUUCUUUCAUUCAUAUUUCAAUCUCUAUUUCUAUUUGGGUUUGUGCAAAAACCCAUUUUCUUCUUGUGUGGAUUCAAAAAGAGGCCGAGAUUGAGCUUGGUGCGGACUCCAAGUGUGCUUCGGAAGAUGAAGGUGAGAAGCUGAAAGUGAAGAUACUAGUCAAGUGGUCCGGGAAUGAUUGGUUGGCUUGAGCUAAGUAAAACCUUGUAUUCGGUUUUUAUUCUUCAUAGUGGAGUGUUUCAAUUGGUGGUAGACCCGUGGUUUUUGAUAUCUUCGAAGGUUUUCUACGUUAAAAUCCGGUGUUAAUUGUCUUUUUCACUCUACACUUGGAUUUAAUUUCUGUUUUUGAUAUCAUUGAUUGUUUGGGCAAACAUGUUGAAUGGAAGAAAUAUGAGGUGAUAUAAGUGUGAUGAUCCAUGGAAUAUCCUUAAUAAUUUUUUUGCUCAUUUUAGUUAAUGAUAUCAUGAAGUAAAUUGAUAUGAGUUGAGGAGAUAAUUGUUCUUUUGAUUUAUUUUUGAGGAUUGUUGAAGUAUUUGCAUGUGUAUUGCAUUUAUAAAUUGUUGGAAGAGUGGUAGUGCAUACAUUCUUGCUUGUGGAAGUAAUUAUACUUUGUUAAAUAAUUGUUGGAAGAUUAGUUUUUUGAUAUUGUGAAAGUCUAAGGUUAGGUAAUCUUUAUUAGGAGAAUUUUUAAAUUGUUUUACAACACUUAUUCAUCCCCCUCUAGGUGUAGUCCAUUAUUGAGAUUCACAUUUUCAAGGUGAUUCUAGCUUGCUGCGUAAACUCCCCCUCUACUCUUAAUAAGAAAAAAAAAAUUAAAAAAUUGAGAGUUAGAUGAAAAAAAAAAUAAAAUAAAGUAAAAAACAAAUAUUGUGAAAGUGAUAAAUUUGUAAUGAAUAAUUUUAUUUAUUUAUUUUAGUUUUGAUUGUACUCUGAAUUAUUCUGUUAUGGCAACUGAAGAAUUAUUUUUUGGGAUUUGAAUUAAAAGAGAUAAAAAAAAUGAAAUGUUUUAAUUAAAAAAAAAAAAUUGUGAAGUGCCUUCCCAUGUUUACAUCAAGUCUCAUGUGGUGGUGCUUUACACUCAUUACACAUGGGUAACUCACUAAUAGCUAUAUUUUUCCUCAAAGAGGAUAUUUGAGGAAAGGUUUCUAGUUAGAAAACUAAGGUUUGUGUGGACCCGUAUUUUUGCUAUAUUUUUCCUCAAAGAGGAUAUUUGAGGAAAGGUUUCUAGUUAGAAAACUAAGGUUUGUGUGGACCCGUAUUAAAAAUACGGGUCCUCACUCGAAUGAGGCUCGUUUUUUAUUUAGUAAAAAAAUGAAUUUAAAAAAAAAAAAAAAAAAAAACAAAAUUAUUAAAAAAACAUUGUGUGACUCAUUAUUUGAAAAAUACGUGUCUAUAAAAAUCGAGUUCAAAUCUGAUGAUCAAAUUACUUAUUGAGAAGGUACGGUAAUGAGUUGUAGUAUCCUUCAAGCCCAUAUACAUACAAUCUCAUCUAAAAAAAUAAAAUGAACUAUGAUAAUUAAUUAAUUAAUUAAUCAUAAAUAUCAACAAAAAAAAUCAUACAAAUCAAUAUACAAUAAAAUAAUGAUAGAAGCAAAUUACAAGAAUGUACAUGGUAAAUGACAUAAAAAUAUGAAUUUGUAUUUUUUAAAAUUAUUAUAAAUAAUAAAAAUUUAUUUAAAAAAAAAAAGUUUUGAUGUUGUUAUUAUUAAAUAAAAUAAAAUAAUAACAGUUCAAAAAAAAAAAAAAACACUGACAUUUACAUCAACAAACCAAAUAAUAAAAAACAUAUAUACAAAAAUAAUAAACAUAAAUAAAAGCCAAUGUAUACAAAAAUAAAUAAAUAAAAAGGAAGAUAGGGAUAAAUGUACAACUUUACAAUGUAAUUCCGUUAACAUUGGCUCUCCAUAGCUUCUCAAACAAAGCUCAAAAAAUAUAAACCAAAAUCUUUCAACCUCACUGCACAUAGAAACUCAAAAAAAUACAAAGACAAAGAGCAUUCAAAGUCCUCCCAUUUUCCUUUUUUGUUUCCAUCUUUCUUUUUAAUCGAAACAUUUCGGUCCUCAGUUAGCCUUCUUCCCAUAACAUUGCACCAAUUGCUCCAACUGCCCCAAACUAACAUUGCACCGCUCUUCCCACUCUUAGCAACAACCAAAAGAAAUUCCAACUCAAACAUCAAGAAAAAUGAAUAAGUAGAAUAUAUAUGUCCAAGCCCAAUAAGAAUAAAAAAGAAAAUCCAAAUGCAAUUGAACCCAAAGAGCAAGUCUAACACAAACAAUAAGCCCAAAUCUCAAAUCAGAAACUUAGCCCAAAUACAAUAAGAAUUAAAGCCCAAGAUUAGUCCCAAAGCCAUCAACAAAUACUGUGUAGAUCAAGAAGUGAAAUGUCCCGCAAAAAACCCUUAAAACUCAACCAAAUGAACAUAUCCAAAAUCAAAUAGAUCAAUCUUAUCAAAUCCAAAACAUAAAAUAAAUAAACAAAAACAAAAACAAGUAAACAGAGAGACCAAAGGAAAAAUAAAAUAAAACCUAAAAAUUUAUUAGACAUUAAUAAGCUGAGGUAGUGAAAUCAUAAAGGAAAAGAAGUGGACAUGGUGAUUGAGCGGCAAGGAGAAAGGCGAUUGCAACAUCAGUAAUAGCAAGGUGUGUGGCCAAAGGUCAGUGGCUAGUUGUAGCCAGAUUUAGUGUUAAUGGUGGAAGAUAAAGAAAGAAGACGAGGGAAAGAGAAAGAGGGAAAUGAGAUAGAGAGAGAGAGAGAGAGAGAGAAAGUAAGAGAUGUUGGAACUUCAUUUUGCUUGUAUCCAAUUAUUAGACAGGAAUCGCAUGUUGAAUCAUAUGAAGAAAUUAUGCCAAACGUUUCUAUAGAAAGGGAACAUACAGAAUCUGAACUAACCUGAAUCCAUUUUGAGUGUUGAAUGAACAAGGUAUGGAUCUUCUAAGGUUGUGGAGGGCACCACCUCUUUUUGGAUUCUCUCUGACGAUGGGAGCAGAAGAGAAAACGAGUAUGUUCUUAUUUCAAAUGAUGUGAUUAGAUUGAACAGACACUUAGCCUUUGGUUUUAUACCCUCCCGCCUUAGGGACCAUACCCUUUGACUAUUGGGUCUCACGAGUCUUAGGCCCAUCAUCUAAGGCCCGUGAUGACAAUAAGCUCUACACAUAAGGUGGCCCAUACUAUGGAAAACUGAUAUAAAAUAAAUAUCAAAUAAAAAUAAAAUAGAUAAUAAAAAGUAAAAUAAUGAAAAUAAUAAUAAUAAUAAAAAUAAAUGGGACAAUUUCAAGGUCUACAAUUGAUAUGGUAACCAUUUUUAAAAAAUUUUCUCUAAUAUUUUUUAAAACAAAUAUUAGUUUGAGAAUCUAAAAUAUUUUCAAAAUAUUUUUAAUGUUUUUAAAUAUGUUUUAAAAAUAAUUUUUCUAAUGUUUUUAUUUUUAAUAAUUCUAUAUGUUAAUAUAAUUAUUAUUUAAAAUAACUCUAAAAGAAUAAGUGAAUACAGUCAAAAGAUGUUCUCUAAAAAUACUAUAUUUUUUGUUUUUAAGAAUAAAAAAUACAAAACAAUUAUCUAGUUGUGUGGACUCGCAUUUUUCAUAUGUAUUUCCAUUAUAAUCGUUUUUAUUGUAAAAAAAUAAUUUACUGAAAAUUAAAGUCGAUAGCUAUUUUUGUUUAUUUUUAAAAGAGAAAAUAAAAUAAAAAAUAAAAUUAUAUUGUAACUUCUUUUUGAAAAAAAAGAUAGAUCUAAAAAAAAUAAAGUCCGAAUUUAAGGUGAGGUUAUUUAUUGAAAAUGUAUCAUCUAAAGAAAUAUUUUCUAAAUAAGUGGGAUUGUGAUGAUUAAUUUAUUAAUUAUAAAUAAAUAAAAAUGUCAUAAAUAUGUACAUGCGUGUCAAUGAAAAAAGCAUAUUGCAAGAAUCCGAAAUGAAUGACAAAAUAAAUACACAAAGUGAAUUAUUAAAAUGAUUUUUUGUUGGACUCUAGUUUCAAAACUAUAAUCAUUUUUGUUAUUUUAUGACUAAUAUUGUAAGCUAAAAAUUAUAAUUAUGAAAAGGACCAUAAUUAGAUGAGAUUCUGCUUACUCAUUAAUCACUUUGCUUCCUUUUUUUAUUUGGUUCUUAUUUUGUUUUUUUGUAUAUAUUAGUUGGUAGAAAGCAUUCUGCUAAAUCAUUAAUGGUUCUUGUGAUGUCAAAAGAUGUACCUGAUUAUAUACAAAGCUGAGAAAAAAAGGGAGUGACCUCUAUAUUUGUGAGGAAAGAUUUGCAGUCUCCACAAGAGGGCUGCUCUUACGGCCAUAUUUGAUCAAGCGAUGAAGUAGGGUUAAUGGCGAAGAGGCGAGGUUAUGAUUAGGUUCGGAAGCUGGGUCGCGGGUGAAUAGUGGUGUCAGAAGGAUACUAUUGGUGGUGGGUUUCUCAUCUUUGGAUGAAGAUGCCAAGCAUAUGAGAGAGGAGAGUUAAAAGGAAAAAAAAAAAAAAAAAAAAAGGAAGACGAAGAAAAAGCCCAGAAGAAUAAGCCAUGGCCGGCCCUCAAUUAAUUAUCACUGCGUCCACUGCAUGUCUUAAGAUGGGUGGACCAAUCGUUUAUGUAGAGAAGCAUGCAUGAGACAGAGGUAGGCAGGAACACAAGCGCUACUACAUUAGCUACAAUUGCCCUUGUAUUGAAGGGAAGUUAUAAAGUUACCAUUCUGCAUCCACAUAAAAUUAAAUCAUCUCUUGAUGUUGGUUGGGAAACACUCCCAUUUGUGUUCUUUAGUGAUUUUAUCCCCUAAUAAUGUUUUUGUUCUUUUUUUUGGAAUAUGCUAUGGUAGGAAAAUGUCACUUAUAGAAUAAGAAAUUUGAAAUAUAAAUAUAUGGUGAGAUCUAAUUGAUUAGGAUAGUCUAGUUGAUCGGAACGAACAUUGAAAAGUAUGAUUCUAAUAAGUGACACAUUAUCUUGAACAAUUAUAAUUUUAUCAUUGAUGAUAUUUUGAAUUUACUUGUUAGUUAUUACGAAAUGGUUCAUACAUAUAGGUUUGUAUCUAAUGGGGUAUAUAUAGAGUUUAAUAAAAAUAGAAGUGGAUGAAAUCUUAAAAAAAAAAAAAAUUAAGAAAAAAUAAAAAUAAAAAAUAAAAAAGGGUAAAAGGGCAAACCGUACGAAUAAAUAGUAAAACUAGGGAAUAAAAAUGAGAUUAGAAAACGUAUACUUAACACCACCUUUUUGCUCUACUCAAUAUUAUCCUACAAAGGAUAUUGGAAUUUGAAAAGCAUCCGAGGUGGAAGCCACUGAUAGUUUAGUCAAAGCUAAUCAACUCCAAUGAGUACAUGUACGCCCACUCAAGAGGGAUUUUGAAAAAAAUAUAGUAAUUUAAAAUAAUAUCUUUUAAAAUAUAAUAAUUCAAAAAACAUUUCUAAAUUUAGAACACUUUGAACUAAUCCAAUUAAAAAUUGUCUAAAAGACAAUCUGCAUAUUUACAUUGAAGUUAUCUUUUUUUAAAAAUAAAAAAAAAAUCAAUUGAUAUCAUAAAAAAUGUCUUAAUAAAUAUUUUUAGAAAUAAUAUUUUGUCAAAAAAAUAUAUAAUAAAUACCAUUAAUAAAAAACGUUCCCUAUAACAAAGACCACAUACUGCUUAGGAUGGGAGGAGGAUAUAUGGCAUGGCAAUGGUUUAGUAGAGGAGCGACCACUACCAAAAUCUUCUUUAACUUAUUACGGAUGCGAUGUCUCGCCCUUUUCCAUCUAGCACUACUGCCCAGUCUGCCCUUCUCACAUCAAUUGUUUUCGUUCCUAGGCAAUCCAUUUGCCACAUCAUAAUAGUAACCAGUCUUUUCAUAAAGUUGCCUACUUUUUCUCUUCAGGACAUUCUAAUCUCAAAUAGAAAAUUGGAUUUUGCUUGUGGCUUUUUUAUUAUCUAAUCUGGGGGGUCAUCAUUGGAAUAAGGAGUCCAAGUUAGAUUGUCCCGUCAUUAUAUUUUGGAUGCAGAUUCUUAUCUUCCAUUUUUUGGGCUUUUUAUCACUUACAAUCGAGUACGUGUCCCCACUCAGAAUGACAUUUAAUUAUUUGAAAGAACUUUUAAGAAUCAUUUUUAUAUUCCAUAAUGUAUGUACUAAUAUUUUAAUACAACAGAAGUUAUAUCAGUAGAAAAAGACAAAAGUAGUGUCAUUUCAGUUUAUUAAAGUGAAUAUGUACUUGGUCAAAAAUGGGAAAUCGCAAUCUACACCUUUAGAGACUUCAACUUCUAAGCAAUCCAAGCAUGGGAAAAAGUAGCGAUUCACCUGUCAACGAUGCUUGCCGAAGGUUGAUUACAUCGACGGUUAGUUGGUUAUUGGGUGGAGUGACCACGUAGCUACGUAGCACAGGUCAACAAGUGAAUAUGCUAAUUUAUUAAAAAAAAAAAUCUACUAAAAUUUCGGAAAGUAAAAAGUAAAAAUAUGUCAUGAACAUGAUUUAAAAAAAUUAAUUUAUAAUUUUUUAAUCAUAAAAAUAAAAAUGCCAUCAAAAGUGCCAAAAUUUAUAUUUAAGAGGCUUCUUUUAUUUAGACUGGAAAGCGUAAACACAAAGCCUUUCCAGUGGUCCAACAAUAAAGGCAUUUACGUAGUUAAGGGUAGGCGGUAGUCUCCCAACCACCGUCACACUCGUACAUUACUUAACCAUACAGGGUCAUUUCUGGCCAGCAGACAUCUACAGCCAGUGGCAGUGAUGUCCUAGCCUAGCAAGUUUGUUGUCGGAAACCAAGACGCUCAUUUUUGAGGUCAAACUCCACAUAAUGAUCCACCUGCUGAUAAUUCCCCAGAAUAAUAGACGGUCCCGGAGUGAAUUCCAAAUUGUUGGUAGGCGAAUCAGUGGUGACGGGGAAACAACCCAAGCUUGCCUCAGAAAAAAGCAAAAAAUAAUUCAUUCCUGGCACCACCAUAUUUGCGCCACCUGUAAAUUGGUAAAUUAAGUCGGGGAUUUUUAUGGAUUUGUGGCCUGUGAAAUUAUAACAAGGCGUCAGACCGGACUGGGUUUCUGCCUCGAGAGAUCUCCUAUACUUGGACAUCUGCUUUUUCAGUUCAUUUGUCACUAUCUUAAAAACCGGUAGUGUCAUGUAGCCGUACGCGAAACCAGAAUCUAUCAUGACACCACCUCGGCUGUCAGAUCCUGGAGUCAGAUACUUGCCUGGAAUCCUGAGGAGCUUGUUUCCGAUCUUCAUAUCUUUGACACCCAAGUAGUAGUAAAACGGGUAGUCAGGAGGGUUCUUGAGAAAGGGAGCAUAGGAAAGUCCUUGGGUUUCGCCAUCACUGUAGUCCAAAAUCAACUUGCCGCUGUUCCGGGUGUCAUCGUAAUCGUGCGAAUUGAGACAGUAAGCAAACUUCUUCACACCCAUCUGCAUCGGCAACGAGAACAUUGUGCGACCGAACCCCGCAAGUGCGUCAGAAGAAGGUUCACGGUCAGCGGAUGUUGUACACCCAACAAGAAAUUUAUGAAUUGUUUUCCCGGGAAAGUCGAGGUUUUCUAAUAGAAAAAACCCAGAUGCUGCUCCUGUGCCAUACUGAAGAGUGUAUUGUGGGCAAGCGUGGGAGCAUUUUUUGGAAUUGCCAUUGCAGCGGGGGCACCCGAGGUGAACAUCUGGGGAGGAAGUGUUUGCACAUUUGGGAUCUCUGCACCCCAAGAUCUUAUCAGAUGACGAAAGUUCGGGAUUGAAGAUGGGGACCUUUUUGGGGUUUGAAAAAGAACAGUUAGUGCAUGUGUAGUGAGUUGUGCACGGGGCCCAUACUACAUGACUUCCUGUGUCCACCAGGAAGGAGAGUUUUUGUGGAGGAGUGCCGAAGCUGAGAGGGAUGGUGUGACCUCCAUGACUAUGAGGAAAAAGAGAGGUUUGUAUGAGAGGGCUGGCCUUCCCAUGUUUCAAAUGAUGGGAUCUGGACAUGGAUGCAGUGGCAAGGUGUUGGAGAAACAGCAACGGUUCGGUAGAUGGGUUCUUUGUAAAUGUUGGUGUUAGAGGGAUGGUAAUGGUGGCAGGUAUGUUAUUUUUGGAGGAAGAUGCCAAGACAAGGCGAGAGAAGAGAGUAAAGACAGAGAAAAGCAAAGUAGUAAAAGAAGCCAUAGCUGUGUAGCUUCAGAAGCGCACACCAGUGAAAGUGGUAGAGAGAGUCGUUUAUAUAGACAAUGACAAGCGUGAUUUAUAUGUAGUUAUUUUAAAAUCCAUUGUCAAUUUUAUAUGGGAUUUUCAAAGUGCAGAGAAACAAAUGGAGAUUUGUCUUGUAAAAAAAUUAGUAAAAAGAUUGUUUGUAAAAUAAAUACAAAAAUAUGAAUUGUCUUUUUUUUUCUUUUCUGGCAUUGAAUAUGAUCCGGUCCUACCCAUCUUACAUUCAUACCCACUGGGCCCAAGCCUACUCCUGAAAUAUCAAGAUCGGAUGGAUAAAAGUCUCCCAUUCUCAUUUUGGUUUCUCCCUUCAAUCCUUUUCUGUGUUUUUUUUUUUUUUUUUAACUUGUUCUGAAGUUGUCUUGGUUCUAUUUUUCCAACCUUAACAUUCGAAGGGUAUGAUAUGGGUUUAAUAUCCGACUCCACCUUUCCCUUUGUAAUCUCAGAUAUCCUGCACGCUUUACACUUGAUAUUGAUAAUUUUAAUCACAUAAUCCAGUUUUAGUUGUUUAAUCUAAAAAUGUUUUCCAAUAUUUGAGUUCUUUAGAGUGCAUUUGAUAGUGAUUUUGAAAAAUGUUUUUAACAUUUUUAAUACUUAAAAAAUAAAAAUCUUUAAAUAUUAGAAAAACUAAAAACACUUCCUAAAAUCAUUGUCAAACGCACUCUUAAUCUGAAAAUAUAUGAUAUAGGUCACUAUCAAUACAAACUUGGGGCCACAUGUGUUCCCUCCCACCAAAAUUGGUAUAUAUUAUAGAAUUAAUUCAUCAAUACUUAUCAUAUUUAUGAAUUUAACCAUUCCUAUAUUUUUGUUUGAAGAAUAACCAUUUUUUGACGUAUUUGUCCUUGAUUAUUUCAAAUAUUUACGUAUAUGUUUUAAAAGAAAAAAAUAUUUUUAUAAGAAAAAAAUAUUUUUAUAAGGAAAAAAUGAGGAUAUUUUUAUCAAAAUGAGACAAAAAAUGAAUGAAGGGAUUAAAUUUCCAAAACUAGGUUUUCAAUUACUCUUUUAAUUAAAUAACUCUCUAUUAUAUAAGACUACAAAAAAGUGGAGGAAGGGAAUAGUCUCAUUUAGUUACCUAGUAAAUGAGGAUUGAUUUAAUUUUUUUAAAAAAAAUUAGCAAGAAUAAUAAGCCUAUACUUGCCUCUUACUAUUGCCUUAAAUAUAAACUAAAAUUCAAACAUUUUCUAUUAAUUUUAUUAUUGAUAUCGUAAAUAGUACAAAAAUUCAAGUUUUGAUAUUAUGUUGAAUUACCAAUUUUUUUAAUAAAUAUGCAAACUAGGGAGAAGUGAUUCAGGACCUCCCACCCAUACCCACGAGUGGAGAAAUAGAUCAAGGUGUUGACUAAUAGACUUAAAAUGGUAAUGAACAAAAUGAUUUCAAAGUCCCAAAAUGUCUUUGAGACAUAUUUUAGAUGUAAUAUUGAUUACAAAUAAGGCUCAAAGUUGAAAAACAAUAAAAGUGGUGUCUUAUCGAAAAGGGUAUUGCCAUGUGAAUUGGAAGUUUUUGUUUGCGGUGCUGAGAAAUAUGGACUCCUGGUAAUUGAAGUCCCACUAACAAAAGCUAGCACAAGGGAAUCAUCAUCCUCACUCUUUGUGGACGCAGGACUGCCUCACGAAUGAAGAUAAGAUAUCCACCUUCCCACGUUUCUUGUAUUGAUAUUGACGUCAUCUUCACGUUUACCGAAGGUACUCCAUUCCUCUUCUCGAAAUCUAUGACUAAAAAAGGUGAGGAUAAGAAGAUGCAACAAUGUUUACAUAUGGUUAUAGGCUUGUAGCUGCUAAGCAUGCUUGGCAAAAUUUAGCCCUAUUUGCCAAUGGGCCUUCAGACGGAGAGAUGGGUAUUUGUCAAAAUAGGCUACAGAUUUUUAAUUCUUUUAGCCAUGCGUUCCAGAACAAUACAGAAUGUGGUAGACAACAUUAGCCAUCAGUUUCCCAUAUAAAUGGAUGUCAUCCUCAAAUCAAUUCUUCUUGUACUUUCUUUGUGAUUCCUACAAUUAGAACAACAUGGCAUGAGUAUUCAUAUAAAUGAUCAGUAUGAAUGGAGAACGGAAUUUUGAAUGAUAAUAAGAGAUAUUCAGGUAUGGUCCCAACUAGACUAGUAGUGCUUGUAUGAGUGUAGACCACUUGGGUCUCAACAUCCUCACUGCUCGCUACCUCACGUGGAUCACGAUUGUUGGAAUGCAUAUUUUUUGUGAGCUUCAUGUUUGGGGUUAGCCCUUUUAGUUACUUCUAAAUUGAAGUCAUUUUAAAAAUAAUCUUAAGAUAAAUUUUAAAGUCUAAAGUUGUUUCUUUAAUACAAGUGACAUUAAACUCUAGUAUUUUUGAAAAAUAUGUUGUAUAUGAAACGGAGGAAGCUGAGACAUACUCGAAGGGAUUUGGCCAUAAGUCCACGACAUCAUAUUUCUAGCACUACACGUUACGACAUAAUUUGCACCCGAGGGCCCCAGCAUCGUACGUAUGGGGAAAGUAUAACAUUACAUUGACCCCACAUCUCACUUCCAGUGGCUCACAAGCCUCCACCUGUCUUACCUUCGAUGCGGUCACGGUCAUCAGCUCGCUUUCUGCCUUGUUCUACUCAAUGUUACCCCACAAAGAAUAUUGGAAUUUGAAAAGCACCCGAGGUGAUUUAAAAAGUUAUUUUUAAAUCUACAAUAUUUGGAGUAAAUCUAAUUGAAAGUUGUUUUUAAAGUUAUGUUUUGAAUUUUUUUUUCAUAUUUACACUGAAAUUUUCUUUUUAAAAGAUAAUUAAAAUAUCCUAAAUUUGAAAAUAAUUUUUUAAAUGUUAUAUUUUAAUAAAUAUUUCAGUAAAGAAAAAUAAUAUUUUUGUGAAAAAAAUAUGAUAAACAAUAUAUACAAUAAGCAAAGUCAUCAGUCAAAAAUGGUCCCAAAAACAAAUGCCGCAUCGCGGAGCAUGACAGUUACCCCGCCCCUUACGUUGCGGACAAAGCCAAAGAAGUUGAUUAUAAAGCCAACGAAGUGAUUUAGCGGAGGAGCGACCACUAACAAAAGUUGAAACUACCAAAAGCAGAAAUGUGAAUAUGUGAUGGUGGCGUGGUCAUCUUCCUCACUAUCGAUGCAACGUCUCCUUCUUUUACCUCUAGUGCUGCCCUGCUCACAUAGAUUAUUUUCGUUCCUGGGCCAUCCAUUUUCCAUAUCAGAAUAAUAACCUGUCAAUUCAUAAAGUUGCCGACUUUUUCUCUACUGGACAUUCUAACCUAAAAUAGAGAGUUGGAUUUUAUUUGUGGCUUUUUUUUUUCUUUUCUUUUUUUUUUUAAUUUUUAAUUUUAAUUUGGAGUCAUUAUUGGAGUAAGAUAUCCAAGUUAGAUGGUCUUGUCAUUAUAUUUAUAUAUGUUACCUGUGAGGUACUUGGAACCUACACCAUUUUAUGUCCUAUAAAUCAUGUGCCCUAAAAAGCUUUAGCAUAUACCAUAUUUGAAUACCAAUUAAAUAUCAUGUCAUUUUGCAUAUACAAGACUUUAUUGAUCCAACUCCAACCUCGCACUCAUGUAAACAUGGAUAUAUCCAACCAAUUCGACAGGGUAGAAAUUUUAUUAUGGGGUAAAAUGGGAAAAUCAUAAAUCAUAAUAAUAUUAGAUAGAAUUUCAGAUUUUAAAAUCAUUAUUUCCAGUAUCAUUCAAAAAAAAAGUAUUUAUUAAUAUUAAUUUAUGUAAUUUUUUUUAUAAUAUAUCAAAUUAAAUAACAUAAAUACUAAGAAAUAUGAACAAAAAAAGCUUUUGAAAUUAUGGUGGCUUCUCCAUUAGGUUACAUCAUAGGUUCAAACCAUCGAACUUUGGCACAUAAAAUGUUGUGAUAGACCUAAUUAGGUCACUAAUUUCUUUUACAUUUUAUUUUCAAAAUUACUAGUAAAUUUAAAAAUAUAAAAAAAUGUGUCAUUCUUUUUCAUUUUUUAUUAUUUUAACAAAAUUCUAUUUUUAUUCAUAUUUGAUUUCAAAUGCGAGGAUAUUAAUGAGCUUUGAGUAUCAUAUAGAAUUUCAAAUAUAUUGUGAAUCCAAAAAUUAAAAUUGAAUUAUUGUAAUUUCCAAUCAAAAUUCAUUAUAACUCACUAGUUUACUAAUCUUAGAAAUGAAUGAAACUUUCUAUGCAUAGGGACUUACAUGUAAAAAGAGUUAUGUCAUCCUUUAUUGGUAUGGACGCGGCUGCCCAAUUUUAAAAUUCAGUAAGUUAUCAUUGUCACGUUAAUUAUUCUUCCUUCUCAUGCACCCCACAAAACAAUAAACAACAUAAUUUGCCUCAAGUUAUAGAAGCGCGACUUUUUUUUUUUCAAGAUUACUAGUAAAUUUAAAAAUAUAAAAAAUAUGUCAUUCUUUUUUCCUUUUUUAUUAUUUUAAUAAAAUUCUGUUUUUAUUAAUAUUUGAUUUCAGAUGCGUUGAUAUUAAUGAGCUUUGAGUAUUAUAUAGAAUUUCAAUAUAUUGCGAAUUCAAAAAUUAAAAUUGAAUUAUUAUAAUUUCCAAUCAAAAUUGAAUUAUUAUAAUUUCCAAUCAAAAUUCAUUAUAACUCACUAGUUGGCUAAUCUUAGAGAUGAAUGAGACUUUUCAUACAUGUGUGUAAAAAGAGUUAUGUCAUCCUUUACUGGUGUGAACGCAACUGCCCAAUUUUAAAAUUCAGGGUUGUCAUUGUCACAUCAAUUAUUCUUCCUUCUCAUGCACCCCACAAAACAAGAAACAACAUAUUUUUUUUUUGUCACAUCAAUUAAUUGAUUUUUUUUUUCAAGAUUACUAGUAAAUUUAAAAACAUAAAAAAUAUGUCAUUCUUUUUCCUUUUUUUAUUAUUUUAAUAAAAUUUUGUUUUUAUUAAUAUUUGAUUUCAGAUACGAGGAUAUUAAUGAGCUUUGAAUAUUAUAUAGAAUUUCAAAUAUAUUGCGAAUCCAAAAAUUAAAAUUGAAUUAUUGUAAUUUCCAAUCAAAAUUCAUUAUAACUCACUAAUUCACUAAUCUUAGAGAUGAAUGAGACUUUUCAUGCAUAUAUACUUACAUGUAAAAAGAGUUACGCCAUCCUUUACCAGUGUGGACGCCGUUGCCCAAUUUUAAAAUUUAGUAGGUUAUCAUUGUCACAUCAAUUAUUCUUCCUUCUCAUGCACUCCACAAAACAAGAAACAACAUAAUUUGCCUCAAGUUAUGAAAGUGAGACUUUUUUUUUUUGUCACAUCAAUUAAUUGAAUUUUUUUUCAAGAUUACUAGUAAAUUCAAAAAUAUAAAAAUUAUGUCAUUCUUUUUCCUUUUUUAUUAUUUUAAUAAAAUAAUGUGUUUUAUUAAUAUUUGAUUUCAGAUGCGUUGAUAUUAAUAAGCUUUGAGUAUUAUAUAGAAUUUCAAUAUAUUGCGAAUCCAAAAAUUAAAAUUGAAUUAUUAUAAUUUCCAAUCAAAAUUUAUGAUAUCUCACUAGUUUGCUAAUCUUAGAGAUGAAUGAGACUUUCCAUGCAUAUAUACUUAUAUGCAAAAAAAAAAGUUACGUCAUCCUUUACAACACGAUUGCCCAAUUUUUAAAUUCAAUAAGUUGUCAUUGUCACAUCAAUUAUUUUUCCUUCUCAUGCACCUCACAAAAUAAGAAACAACAUAAUUUGUCUCAAGUUAUGGAAGUGGGACUUUUUUUUUUGUCACAUCAAUUAAUUGACUUUUUUUUUUUUGUGCUUUGUUUUAGACAAGGUCGAAAAUAUCAGAUAAGGACGAAAAUAUUGAGAGAUAUCGGUCAUGGCCCUCCACGGAAAAAAUCACCAAAAUUUUAGCUAUAUAUCGAUGAUGUGUAAUGUCUAAAGUUUUGCAAAUUUUUAAUUUUAGUAUAAUGGGCCAAAGGCAUUAGGCCCAGCCCGCCUACAGUAGUGGACGUGUGCUGCGUAAGGUAACACCUUACAUAGAGACUAUAAAGCUUUCAAUCUCUCAACGUUUCAAUGUGUAUGUAUGUGUUUAAAAUUGUUUAUAUAUAUUAUACAUUAUAAUAUAUUUUAUAAAUUAAUUAAACUAAAAUUAUUAUAAAUAAUUACCUUAUAAUAUAUUUUGAAUACUAAUUAAAUAUAAAAUCAUAAAUAAAAUUAUCAAUAUUUUUAAAUAAAAAUAUUUUAUAUAAAAAUAUCCAAUGAUAUUUCUCCGAUAUAUCUCAUGUGUUCAUAAAAUUCAAGUAUAGUAUAUCUUUAAUUACCAAUAUUUUCAUCUUUUGUUUUAAUUUAUCUUAAUGCCUUAAAUAGAGUAUUUGAUUUUAUUUUAUUUUUUCAAUUGAACAAUAAAAUAAAAAAAAAAUAAAAAUAAAAAUAAAAAUAUGAAAGAAUUCAAUUUAAAAAAAUAAAAAAUUAAAUAUAAUAAAGAUUACUCAAAAUUAUGAUUAUAUUUAGAAAAUGUUUUUAAAAAUGGUUAUGAAAAAUAAUAGUUGACAAUUAUUUUUUUAAAUUAUUUUAUGAUGUUUUUAUAAGAAAAGUUUAUUUGAGAAUAUUUAAAAUAAUAUAAACUUAUUUUUAUAUAUUUUUAAAAUAAUAUUUAUAUAUAAUAAUUUAUUUUUUAAUCAUUCUUUAUAUUUAUAUAAUUAUUUAUUAAAAUUGUUGUGAGAAAAUAAGUAAAAACAAGUAAAAUAUGUUAUAUAUAAUCUUAUUUUAUAUUUUUAAAAAUUGAAAACCGUAUCCCAUUUUUUUUUGUUACCAAAUAUGUUUUCCUUUUUUUGGUUCUUGAAAACAUAAAAUUAUCUUUGAAAUAACUUCCAACAAACCCUACACAUUUCAAAGUUUUUUAAUAAAAAGAUAAAUUUAAAACAACAUGUACAAAAAUUUUAUUUAAUAUAACCCUAUUUUUUAUAGUUUCCUUUACACUUAUCAUCAUGGCUUCCAAUUUUAAUUACAAUUAUGAAUGGUAAGAGGCAAUUGAAUUCAAUGUACUACAGGUACAUUAUGUACUAUUUUAUCCAACAUUAACUUCUAGAAAUAUUUUAUUAAAAUAUGAAAUAAUACCUAUAUUUAAGAAAAUAAUUUUCAUAUAUUAAAAAUUAUACACAUUACUAUUCAAUAAGAGAUUAAAAAUUAUAUAUAUAUUGUUUUUAAUAAUCCAAUAAGCCUAAAUUCUGCAAUGUAGAGUGAUAAAUAUAAAUAUGAAAUACUAAAUUCAUAUUUAAGAAGAGUAGUAUUUUAUUUAGACAUGAGAUUAGAAACUGCUCCAACAAUACAAACAUGUACUUAAUAAAAGCUGAGAAGUUUUGACAAAAAAUAUUACGUUUUAAAUAAUCUAUAAAGUAAAUUAAAAUACAAAAUAAUGUCCAAUUUAGUGCAUUAGGGCCCUAUAUGCCUUCAUGUCAUAAAAUCGAAGUUGGUAAUUAUGAUUUAUAAUUUUUUUUUUUUAAAUGGUCAAAAUUGUAGUCAUCAACCAUGAAUUAACUUUAAACUUAAAAUCGUAGUUGAUAACUAUGACUUUGACCAAUUUAAAAAAAUGUUCAAAGCCAUAGUCACCGUGGUUGGUAACUAUGGCUUUGAACAUGAUUUUAAUUUAAACUAAAUAAAUUUAAAUUCACUCACUAAUUAUCUUUCUAUGUAAUUCCAUUUCAUAUAUCAACAAUAUCCUACCAAUGUUUGAAAUAUCAGUAAACAUGGAUAUAUUAACAAUAUCCGACCAAUGUUUGAAAUAUCAGUAAAUAGUAAAAAUUCAAAAUUCAAAAUUAUUAUUCAAUAAUUAUUUGAAGAAAAUUAUUCAAAAUUCAUGAAAAUAUUUGAAAAAACUUCAAAAAUGAUAAAAUAAAUAAAAAUACACAUGUUAAAGUUAUUUUUUAAGUGUAAUUGAUAUAUGUAUGGUUAAAGAGAAAAAUAUCGAUAAGUAAGGAUAUGUCAGUAUUAAUAAUUUAUUAUUUAUUUAAUCAAAUUAAUUUUAAUUUAUAAAAUAUUUGAACUUAAUUAUUUUUUUUAUAUUUUAGUAUUUUUGAAUCAUUUUUAAUAUUUUAAAAUAAAAAUAUUCAAAAUUAAAUAAAAUUAAAAAGAUAAAUAUAAAAAAUUUAAAAGUGAAGUGGUAGUAAUUUUUUUAAAAUAGGAUUAAUGAGAUAAUGAUGAUACAUUUAUGUAGACCCCCUUUAGAGAGCAAGGACGUUUAGUUUUUUUUAAGGGAUUUUUUUAUGGCAUGGGGGGGCCCUUUUUCUGCUGAAGGGAAGCCGGAUUAGACGUGCAAGCAUGGAUGGCCAGAUGGGUAGUUGAGGAAGCCAUGCUGCUGAUGUGAGGAACAACAAACGGAGGAGUGGCUUGCCAAGGAAGAUAGGAACAGGGGAUGAGAGAGAAAAGAAAAAAGAAAAGGAGUUUUAGCGGGUAGAGGAAGUAGAGAGAUCGAGUGAGGAGCUGGUGCGAGAACAUGGGGGUACGGCAGAUUUCGAGAGAGAGAGAGGUACCAGAGGAGCAAGGGGAGAAAGCAGAGGAGCUUUUAAAAUCUGGCUGGUAGAGGAGGCAGAGAGGGCGGUAAGAUAAGUGAGCUUCAUUGGAAAGGAGUUUCACAGGUAUGGAGUAUCGUUUUUUUUUUAGGGUCUUCCUCAUUAUCAUUGUUCCUCAUCAUCUUUUCUUACUACUUAAGCAUUGUUAGUUUGUCUGGUUGUAGAUUGAGUUUUGCUGAAUUUGAGUUUGUUUUUAUGCUUGCUCUGUUUUGGUUCUUUUCUGCCCUCUUUGAUUUCUCCUGUCAAUAACUGAUGUAUGGAUUGUUUUUGAGCUUGAUGUUUGAUUAAUCAUGCCACUGCUCUCUACUUGUCUCACCUGUUUAGACCCAUUAAAUGUAGCAUGAGAUGGAGUCUUAAUUAACGGACUUUGAGUGUGCUCUGUUUCUUGAGCCUUCCCCUUUUGCUUUUGAAAAAUACCAACCAUUAUUAUGUAAACUACCUGAAAGUCCCGGGACUAUGGUAGUAUAGGAUGGAAGUUUGAGGCAUCAUUUAGGUUGCGGAGCCUUCUAGAUUUUCGCCAGCACCAGUCAGCAUGUUCAUUGCUGACACACAAGCUGAUAAGCUUCAUGGAAAUAAUGUCCUCGGGAGGGAGGUCCGGCGAGGAGGAUGAAAUUCUUCCAUAAGUGGCAGCCACUGUGACAUGUAAAAGAUUAAAAAAAAAAAGUGAAAAGUGGCAAUUCUAAGGUGACCUGGGAAUCACCAUAAGUGGCAUAAACAUGUGACCAAAUUUGAUUCCUACAAAUUCUUUUUUUUUUUUUUAAAAACGAUCCUUAAAGUCCCGGUUUUUUUAGAUAACAUGUCAAGUCCAAAUUUCAAAUGACAACUAAAAAUUCGCAUUUCCGAAACUCCGUUUUUUUUUAAAAGAAAAGAAAAAAAAUUAUUUCUUCAAGAUUCAAUUCUCAACAUUAUUUUCUAAAAUCAUAAUUUUAAAUUUAACUUUCCAAGGUUCAAACUUUUAAAUUCAAUUUUUCAAAAUCUCGACUUCCGAAUUUAAUUUCUCUCCAUUUCUUUAAUUAUUUAUUUUUCAUUAUCAUUAUUCUAUUAAUUUAUUAAUUUAUUUAUUUUAAAAUUCCAUCCUUAGACAAUUUAUCAAAAUCCCGACUCCCGAAUUUAAUUUCCCGUUUCAGAAUUUCUAAUGUUCACUAAUCAUUUAUUUUCGUUAUUAUCAUUCCGUUUAUUUAUUCAUUUUAAAAUUAUAUCUUUAAACAAUUUUUCGAAACUCUUAUCUCCAAACUUAAUUUCCUAUUUUCAAAAUUCUAAUUUUCACAUUUAUUUAUUUAACCAUCAUUUCGUUACUAUUAUUAUUAUUAUUUAUUUAUUUAUCUAUUUCUAAAAUUCCAUCCUUAAAUAAAUUUUUCAAAUUUCCGAUUUCGGAUAUUAAGUUCUGGGCUUCAAAAAUUCCACUAUUCAUUUUUUAUUCGUUUAAAUAUUAUUUCGUUAAUUAGCAUUAUUAUUCCAUAUUUAUUUAUUUAUCCAAUCAUUAUUAUUUUCGUUAUUUUACUCAUUUAUUUACUCGGUUGUUCGUUCAUUUAAAAUUCCAUUCCUAAGUAAUUCAUCAAAUUUCCAAUCCUUAAGUCCAAUUCCCAAUUUCCCAUACCCCUAACUUCCGCAAUUAUUUAUCCAACCAUUAUUACUUCGUCAUCAUUAUUCCAUUCAUUUAUUUAUUCACUUAUUCAUUUAUUUAAAAUUCCGUCUUUAAAUAGUUCCUCAAAAUUCCAAUUUCGAAAUUUAGUUCUCUAAAAUUCCAAUUCUCUAAUUUCCGAACUUAAUUUUCAAUUUCCCAUGCUCCAAUUCUCGUAUUUAUCUCGUUACUUACUAUUAUCAUUAUCACUAUUAUUUUAUUCAUUAUUUCUAAAAAUUCUGCCUUCGAAUGAUUUCCAAGAUUUCCAAUUUUUAUAAUUCAAUUUCCAUAGUUUCUACUUCUCAAAUGACUUUCAAUUUUGAUUUCUUUUAAAAUUUAAUUUCCAAGGUCCCAAUUUUUGUAAUUGAUUUUUUUUAAAAAUCCCGAACUCUCAAAUCAUUUUCAAAAUUCCAAUCUCUUUCAAAUUUAAUUUCUAAAAUUCUCAUUCUCACACUUAAUUUCUAAAAGUCUGAUCUUCAAAUAAACUCUAAAACUCCAAUUUUCAAGUAAUCUUCGAGACUCCAAUUUUUCAAAUAAAUUUCAAAAAUCCAAUUUUCUCUCAAAUAGUUUUAAUUUUACUCUAGUUUUCAAACAAUCUUCUGCUCCUCUUGAUUUUAAUUAGCAUGAAUGAAUUUUUCAUAAUUCCAGAAUAAUGGAAUCUGUGACAUUAAUUCAUGCAAAAUAAACGGGCUUUGCUGGGGGUCCUACAUAAGUGAUUUUAUGAUUGAUUGAUUGAUUGAUUUGAUUAUCACACAUGAUUAAUUGAUUCUGCUCUAUGACAUGCAUGAGAUUAUUCUUUUAAUUGUGUACUAACCCUCUUUCUUGAUAGCGCAUUGAUCGAUUGAUGCCAAGGUAUGCCCCGUUCUCACUUCGGUCGAUUCUUUAUUGAGUGUUUUGAUUGCCCCAUGUGCAUGAUCACCCUGAGUAUUCAUUGAUUUCCACAUCAAUUGUCACAUCAGCUUCAUUUUAUUAGUAGAGACCCGACUUUAGGGACUUAGAAGGGUGCUACGGUUCUUAUUGUACCUUCCCGAUAAGUAACCUGACCCCCGAACCCGAUCCGGUUUUUCGUAGGCCACCUUUUCCGAAUAAGGAGUCACACUUAGGGUUUUUCUUUCUUAUUUUGUUUACCCUUUUAAAAAUAAAACAAAAAUAAGUGGCGACUCCAAGUCAUUUUCUUAAUCAAUAAAAAUCAUUUUUCGAAAUCAAAAUCGAGCUCGCCUUCGAGUGGGAAACGCAUGAGCCGAAAUGCGGGGUCCACAAUUUAAUAUUAAAACUAUAAUUUAUUUAAUUCAAAUGUAUUCAAUAAUAUAAAAUAAAUUAUGAUGCAUAUAUGAAUUUUUAAUUUUUUUAUAUUUUUAUAUUUAAUUAUCAUAUAAAUGAUAUUAAAAAAAAUACUUGUUAAGAAAAUUAUAAAAGUGGUUUUUAUAUAUUAAUUAAUUAAAUUUCAAAAUAACAUUAUUUAUUUUUAAUAAUGAACUUUAACAUAUUUAUUAUUUACAUAUAUUAACAAAAGAGAAAAUAGUUGCACUUGUUUGUGUCUUCUGAGUAGUAGAAAGAUCAAGUUCUUUCAAAGAACAAAGGGAAAUAUGAUCAUACUUAGUGUGAAGGGUAUUAGAAUGGAUUGUAGGAUGAAUUGAGGUCAACGAUGGGAGCCAUAAGCUGGUAUUAACAUGAUUAGAGAUUGUAGAAUAUUCAGGAACAAUUGUAUGUUGAAGCAAAAGGAAACAUGUUUUCAUCAAAUGCAACAUGCCUAGAUAUGUAGAUCCUACCACUUGGAUCUAAACACUUGUAUCCUUUGUGCUUAUGACUGUAUCCAAAAAAUGUGCAAGGAACUAAACAAAAUUGCAUUUUAUGAGAAUUAUAUGGUCUCAAGUAUGGAAAACAUUGACAACCAAAUACCUUUAAGAAUGAGUAAAUAUAAUGGAUCAUUAUAUACAGUCAAGGAAUUUGAAAAAGACAAUUUAUAACUUUUUCCAAGUUGAUAGGCAUAACAAAAAUGAUCAUUUUCAUUCAUUGAAAACUUCAAAUUAAAAUUUGAAAGAACUUGUUUGACAGUAGAGAAAGUUGGGUAUCCUAAUUUCCUAUGCCACAAACUCAAAAUCGUAGAUGACUUAACAUUAUCAUCAUUAAGAUUGGAAGUAGGAAGGAUAGGAGAAUCUAGACCACAAUCUCCCAUUCUAUUAGAUUUAAGAGACAAGACUUGGUGAUCCUUAGAGUUAAUGAGGGAAAAGUGAUGUGAACUAGUUGAUAAAUAUGGUUGAGCCUUGAAUAGGUUGAACCGAUAUAACCCUUCAUGUAGUCUCCCUUUGAGCAAAGGUGUUCCCGUUGCUAGAUCCUUCACAAUGGAAAUAGAUGGAUGAAACUCAAAGAAUACAUUAUUUUCUUUAGCAAAUUGACUGACAUUUAUGAGAUUACGAGUAAUGUGGGGAACAUGUAGUAGGUUAGAUAAUGAAAAAACUUUAGGUGAAUCAGAAGAACAAAGUGAAGAAAAACCAGAAUGAGCAAUCGUCAAACUUGCACUAUUACCCACAUGGAUCUUAUUUCUUCUAUGAUACUCAGAACCAAAAUUCAGAUUGCUAUGGUCAUUUGUAACAUGAUUUGUUGCUCUUGAAUCUAGAAACUAGUUGUCAUUAUUGAGCAAUUCCGAAGUGGUUAACAUUGUAGUCAUCGAACCUGUGUUUUUACCAACAUUGUUGUUUGCAUAGACUGAAUCAUUUGUGAACCCACAAAAAUUUGGGUCAAAACGAUGGUAACAUUUUUGGACAGUGUGUCCAAAUUUUCCACACAACUAACAUUGUGGCUUAGAACCACCAAUCUAUGAAUGACCUUUUCCACAACCAGCAUGACCUCAUCAUCUAUUAUUUUGAAAUUGUUGUGCUCUCUGGUAGGAUUGAGAAGCUCUCUGAUUAAAACUUUGAAUUCCAUUGUUGAAUCAUUUCUGUUGAUUUUGAAAAACAAGAUUCAUGGAUGGUUGGGAUCCGUCAGAGUUCACUGAAUGCUACUUGAUUUGACUUUCUUAAGCUAGUAGCAACCCUCAUACAUUUUCCAAAGAUGAGAAUCAACUCUGGCAAUAAUAACUGAAACCAUAGAAUUGUAUUCAAUGCCUAGACCAACAAGAAUAUAGAGAAUCUGAUCUUCUUUCAAGAUUUGAUGCCUAGUUGAAGCAAGAGUAUCAAAAUACGUUUUCAUUUUGAGAAGAUAUUCUCUCAUUAGUAAGCCCGAUUUCUUCGAACUCUAGAUCUGCAAUUUGUAUUGUAUAAUCUUGGCUUUGCAUAGUAUUGCAAAGACUUUGUCAAGGGUUCUCUAAAUAUCAUUAGCAGUGUUGCAACCUACCAUUUGUAGUAGAAUACUCUCACUCAUUGAAGAUAGAAGCCAAGAGACUAAGUAGUUGAUCUUGUCUCUGCCAAGUCACAUACUCAAGAUUCAUCGACUGCAGACUUCCAUUGACACUAGAUGUUAUCUCAGAUGGACAAAUAGAGGUGUCAUAAAUAAAACCCUUUAAACCGAAGCCUCGAAUCGCAACGAGAGCUUGUUGUUUCUAGAUGAGAAAAUUUUCAUGUAUGAGUUGUACCGUAACUAGAUGACUUGAAGGACCGAUGACAGGAUUGAGAGAAAAUGAAGAAUCAUAUGAGGUUUCUAGUGAAGUUGCCAUUGUAGAGCUCUGAGUCGAAAGCUCUGUUACCAUAUGAGAUAAACAAAUGAUAAAAAUAGAGGAUAAGAAUUAAGGAUAAAACGGGCAAAGAUGCCCACUCUCUUUCUCAGUAUCUCUUAUUUUAUUAAGAGCAUGAACCAAGAAUUUUAUACAACAAGAAGAACCAACCCUAACAACCCAACCUAUUAUUGAAUGCCACAUGGCACAACAUCAAGUUACUUAUUAAAAUAAGAUACAACAUCAACCCUAACAAAUUAUUUAUUUAUUUAUAUAAUUGAAUUUACUUAUUAAAGUAAAGUUAACAACAUCAAAAACAUGUUAUUAAUAUAUCAAGUUCCCAAAUAAAUAUUUAUUUUAUAAAAUAUUAAAUAACAAUUUUUAAAAAUCAUUUUCAAAUAUUAUUUUAAAAAAUAAUUACUAAAUAGGACCUAAAUAUCUCCUUUCAAAAUGUGGCUUUCAAUUCUAAAAGUAUCAUAGUGGAAAUUUCUUACUUGAUAUUAAAGAUAUAAUAAAAUUAUAAAUAACAAACAUUAUAUUUCUAAACAUCUCAAAAUUUUCCAUUUUUCUAUUAAUAUUGCAGACUGCAUAAGUAAUAACUACAAUAACAUCAAAUGAAGUAUAAGUAGCACUUGACAUAAGAUUUAUUGUUGUGUAACAUCAGGAUUAUAAAGACUUUUAGCUCAAAUAAUCUUUUUAAUCAUAUAUAUUAGACAUAUAUGAUAAUCAUAAUUCUAUUUUCCAUUUUUAUUCAAAAAAAGAAAAAAGAAAAAUAAGAACUUUUUGCUAAUUAAUUAUAUAAUAAGUAGAAUUUUUUUAAAUGAUUUCUCAAUGAUGUGUCUAUGAGUUGCAAUAAUUUUUUGAUAUUUAUAUACAAGACUCUAAUUUUAUUAGUUUAGUACACAUGAAUAUGACACGAGUGACUUAUGAGUGUAAUUUCCUAUUUUUAUUUUGAGUAUAAAUUAUUUUAAAUUUUUUUUCUAAUAAAAUUUCGGAAAUUAAAAAAGUAAAAAUUUAUCAUGAACAUGAUUUAAAAAAUUUUAAUUUAUAAUUUUUUAAUAAUAAAAAGAAAAAUGCCAUCGAAAAGCGCUUAAAUUAUAUUUAGUAGGCUUCUUUUAUUCAGACUGGAGAGCGUAAACACAAAGCCUUUCCAGUGGUCCGACAACAAAGGCAUGUACGCGUAGUUAAGGGUAGGCGGUAUUCUCCCAAUUGCCAUCAGACUGGUACAUUACUUAACCAUACACGCUACUCCAAGGUUGCUAUUAUCAACUAGUUUUGGUCAGCACACAUCUAUAGCCAGUGACAGUGAUGUCAUCGACUAGCAAGUUUGUUGUCGGAAACCAAGACGCUCAUUUUUGAGGUCAAACUCCACAUAAUAAUCCACGUGCUGAUGAUUCCCCAGAAUAAUAGACGGUCCCGGAGUGAAUUCCAAAGUGUUGGUGCCUGCAUCAGUGACGAAGGGGAAACAAGCGAAGCUUAUCUCAGGAAAAGACAUAAAAUAAUUCUUUCCUGGUACCACCAUAUUUGCGCCACCGCUAAAUUGGUAAAUUAAGUCGGGGAUUUUUAUGGAUUUGUGGCCUGUGAAAUUAUAACAAGGUGUGAAACCGGACAGGUUUUCUAGCUCAAGAGAUCUCCUAUACUUGGACAUCUGCUUUUUCAACUCAUUUGUCACUAUCUUAAAAACCGGUCGUGUCAUGUAUCCAUACGCGAAACCAGAAUCUAUCAUGAGACCACCUCGACCGUCGGAUCCUGGAGCCAGAUACUUGCUUGGAAUCCUGAGGAGCUUGUUCCCGAUCCUGAUAUCUUUGACACCCAAGUAGUAGUAAACCGGGUAGUCAGGAGGAUUCUUGAGAAAGGGAGCAUAGGAAAGUCCUUUGGUUUCACCAUCACUGUAGUCCAAAAUCAACUUGCUGCUGUUCCGGGUGUCAUCGUGAUCGUGCGAAUUGAGACAGUAAGCGAACUUCUUCACACCCAUCUGCAUCGGCAACGAGAACAUUGUGCGACCGAACCCCGCAAGUGCGUCAGAAGUAGGUUCAUGAGCAGCGGAUGUUGUACACCCAACAAGAAAUUUAUGAAUUGUUUUCCCGGGAAAGUUGAGGUUUUCUAAUAGAAAAAACCCAGAUGCUGAUCCUGUGCCAUACUGAAGACUGUAUUGUGGGCAAGCGUGGGAGCAAUUUUUGGAAUUGCCAUUGCAGCGAGGGCACCCGAGGGAACAUUUGGGGUUUCUGCACUCCAAGAUCUUAUAAGACGACGAAAGUUUGGGAUUAAAGAUGGGGACCUUUUUGGGGUCUGAAAAAGAACAGUUGGUGCAUGUAUAGUGAGUUGUACACGGGGCCCAUACUACUUGACUUCCUGUGUCCACCAGGAAGGGGAGUUUUUGUGGAGGAGUGCCGAAGCUGAGAGGGAUGCUGUGACCUCCAUAACUAUGAGGAAAAAGAGAAAUUUGUGUGAGAGGGCUGGCCUUCCCAUGUUUCAAUUGAUGGGCUCUGGACAAGGAUGAAAUGCAAGGUGUUGGAGAAAUAGCAAGGGUUCGAUAGAUGGCUUGUUUGUAAAUGUUGAUGUUAGAGGGAUGGUAAUGGUGGCAGGUGUGUUAUCUUUGGAGGAAGAUGCCAAGAAAAGGAAAGAGAAGAAAGUAAAGACAGAGAAAAGCAAAGAAGUAGAAGAAGCCAUGGCUGUGUAGUUUCAGACGCACACACCAUGGGAAGUGGUAGAGAGAGUAUUUAUAUAGACAAUGACAUGCAUGGUUUAUAUGUAGUUAUUCUAAAAUCCAUUGUCAAUUUUCUUCAUUUUGCAGUAUGAUAUGGAUUUGAUUGAGCAAAGAUUUUAUUGCCUCUUCCUGACGAAGACAGCCACGACAGCCGCGGUUACCUACAAAAGCAUUCCAGCUGGCGUGAAUUGCAAUUAUCAACAGAAUAUUUGUCUUUUUCCUUUUAUUAGGUUUCUUUCUUCAAUCUUUUUAAACACCAUGUCUUUUGUGUGUGGUGGGGAGGGGUCACAGCUUCAAAUAAUGUAGUUUACUGUUCCUUUUGUGGCUGGAUAUGUUUUCUUUGUGAGGAGACUGGUUGGUACGUCAACUCCCCUUUAACCUAAUGGAAAAAUAAAAAAUAAAAAAUCAAAGAGUUAGAUUUCAACAGAACAUUUACAAAAAAGUAAAAUAAAACAUCAAUAUUGAGAAAGUGAUAAAUUUGUAAUAGAUAAUUUACAUCUAAAAAUUGUUAUUAAUUAAUUGAGAAUUAGGAAUAAUUUUUUUUCCACUUUGAUGUGAAGUACACCCUAAACCAUAUAAGAAUGGACAAAUUAUUUGAUAAAAGUUAAAAUAAUUAUAAAGAUCGAUAAAAUCAAAGAAAAAUAAGUUUUUAUCUACUUCACAAAUAAUAUAAAUGCACCGUCGAUGUUAUUAAAUUUAUUAAAAAUUUAAAAAUAAAUCUCAUACUAAAAACAUAACUAAUCCUUCAGAACUUAAAGAUUUCCUACCCUUCUUAAUAGUUUUAUUGCUUUUGAAUUUUAAUAUUAUAUAAUGAAUAUUGGAAAAUUGAAUAACAAGUUGUAAAUUUAUUUUAUUUUUUUAAUUUCUUUAAGCAAAUAUUUUUUUAAGACUUAUAAUCUCUGUUUAUUUCUCAGUUUUAUUAAUUUAUGUUGCAUUUUUUUGAAAAAAAAAAAAUCUAUAUUUUCAUAAUUAUAGCACCGACAAAGAAUAUCAAAUAAAUUUGUACCUACCUAAGUGUUUUUAUAAUUUGCUUCCAAAAGUAGUAAUCAUACUUUACAUUUGACAUUGAUAGUUUCAAUCACAUAAUCUAGUUUUAGUUGUUUAAUCUAAAAAUGUUUUCCAACAUUUGGGUCAUUGAAUCAAAAAAUAUAUGGCAUGGGCACUACCAAUAUGAUAUAGACCACCACCAAUGUUUUAUUACAUAGGAUACCACUGGGACCACAUGUGUUCACCUCCACCAAAAUUGGUUUAUUAUCUAAGACUAUAAAGAAGUGGAGGAAGAGAAUAUUCUGAUUUGGUCACCUCAUAAAAAGUUGAUUGAAGUAGAAAAUCUGAAGAAAAUUUGAAGGCAGUCCACAUUUUUUCGGCACCAAGUAUUCAUUUUGUGGAUAAAAGAAAUUAACAAAUUUUAAAUUUAGAAAAAAUAACAGGCCUAUACCUACCUCUUAGUAGUGCCUUAAAUUUAAACUAUAAUUUAAAUAUUUUCUAUUAAUUUUAUUGUUGAAAAUGUAAAUAGACCAAAAAUUCUAGCUUUGUGAUUAUGUUAAAUUACCAAUUUUCCUAAUAAAUAUGUAAACUAUAAAGAGAUGGUCAAAAGACUUCCAACCCAUACCCAUAAGUAGAGAAAUAAAUAUAUAAAUUAUAGAUAGGAGGCUUGAAUACAACUUAAUAGCAUAUUGAAUUAUCAAUUUUCCUAAAAUAUUAAUCAUUUAGGAUUUGAGUUUAUAAUAUAUACCAUGCUUUUAACUUUUAUAAACUUGUGUGUGAUCAUAGAAUGAAAUAUCUACAUGUGAGUGACUUUUAUUUUUUUUUAACCAAAAUAUUGCUUAUCAAUUUAUUACAUUAUAAUUACUCUUUUGGUUCCAAAGAAGUCUCCUUGGUUGUGAUAAUCUUAAUAUCUAACUCCAUUUUUCCCUAAUUAAAGUACACAUCAAACUUGUGAGGGAAGAGUGCAGUCUCUAUGAGAGGGCUGCUCUUGCGGCCGUAUUUGAAGUGAUGAACUCUGGUUAAUGGCCUAAAGGCGAGGUUAUGGUUCAGUUCUGAAGAUGGUUCGUGGGUGAAUAAUGGUGUCAGAGGGAUACUAAUGGUGGAGGGGCCGGUUUCUCUUCUUUGGAUGAAGAUGAUAAGCAAAGGAGAGAGAAGAGAGUAAAAAACAUGACAAAGCCAAGAAGAAGAAGCAAUAGCUCUGACCUUUUGUUGCCUGAUAAUUAAAGUCCCACUAACAAAAGCUAGCACAAGGGAAUCACCAUCCCCACUUUCUGUGGACGCAGUACUACCUCACGAAUCACAAUAUGAUAUCCACCUUCCCACAUUUUUUUGUAUCAAUAUUGACGUCAGCUUCAUGUCAUGUUGAAGAUGCAACAAAGUUUAUAUAUGGUUAUAGCUGCUAAGCAUGCUUGGCAAGCUUUAGCCCUAUUUGCCAAUGAGCCUUCAGACAGAGAGAUGGGCGCACGUCAAAAUAGGCUACAGAUUUUCAAUUCUUUUAGCCAUGCAUUUCAGAACCGUGCAGAUUGCGGUAGACAACAUUAGCCAUCAGUUUCCCAUAUAAAUGGAUGUCAUCCUCACAUCAAUUCUUCUUGUUCUUUGUGAUUCCCACUAUUAGAACAACAUGGCAUGAGUAUUCCUACAACUGAUCAAUAUGAAUGGACAAUGGAAUUUUGAAUAAUGAUAAGAGAUGUUCAGGUGCGGUCCCAACUAGACUAGUAAUGCUUGUAUGAGUGUAAACCAUUUGGGUCUCGACGUCUACUCACUACCUCACGUGGAUCACGAUUGUUGAAAUGCAUAUUUUUUGUGAGCUUCAUGUUUGGGGUUAGCCCUUUUAGUUAUUUUUUAAUUGAAGUCAUUUUAAAAAUAAUAUUAAGAUAAAUUCUAAAAGUGUAAAGUUGUUUCUUUAAUAUAGAUCACAUUAAACUCUAAUAUUUUAAAAAAAUAUGUUGUAUAUUUCUAGCACUACACGUCACGACAUAAUUUGCAACCCCCGGGACCCAGCAUUGGAUAUAUGGGGAAAGAACAACAUUACAUUGACCCCACAUCUCACUUCCAGUGGCUCACAAGCCGCCACCUAUCUUCCUUUCGAUGUGGAUCUCCUUCUGCCCUACAAAGAAUAUUGGAAUUUGAAAAGCACCCAAAGUCAUUUAAAAAAAUAUUUCUAAAUCUACAAUAUUUUGAGUUAAUCUAAUUGAAAGUUGUUUUUUAGAAAAACAAUUUUAGUAAAAUUUUAAAGUUAAUUUUUGAAAAAAUAAUUUUCUUAUUGACACUGAAAUUAUCUUUUUGAAAAGGUAACUAAAAUAUCCUAAAUCUGAAAAUAAUUUUUAAAUGUCAUACUUUAAUAAAUAUUUUUUUAGAGAAAAAUAAUAUUUUUGUUAAACAAUAUAUACAAUAAGCUACCUCAUGUGUCAGAAAUGAUCCCUAAAACAAAUGCCACAUGCUGCUCGGGAUGAGCGGAGGAAACAUGGCAUCGCGGAGGAUCACAGCUCCCCGCUCCUUAUGUUGCGGACAAAGCCAAAGCGAUUGAUUAUAGAGGCAACGUAGUGGUUUAGUAGAGGAGCGACCACUACCAAAAGUAGAAAUGUGAAUAUCUGAUGCAACGCCUCCCUCUUAUCCCUCUAGUGCUGCCCUUCUCACAUCAAGUAUUUUCGUUCCUGGGCCAUCCAUUUUCCAUAUCGGAAUAAUAACCUGUUGUAGACCCCCAUUUGGGGCUCAUUCCUUUGCAUCUCUGCAGGGUAUGAUUCUUUGCAGGUGGAGGGCUCCCAAGGAGCCACGUGUCGCCUCGCGGUUGGUGGCCAUAGAAACAGAUGGUGGAAUUGAGGAGCGAGUGAGAGUUUGACAUGUGGCAUGGAGAUAUUCUGGCCGUUAGUGAGGAGCGUAUAUUUUCUGUUAGAGGGGAUUUUUGCAGAGGGGGGUCGGCUGGCCAGAGGUAGGGUGCUUUUCAGAAGCUGCUGCAGGGUAGUGGUGGUCGGGGAGCGUCUCCUGGAGGUUUAGAGGCUGUAGAGAACUAGGGUCUCCGGGGGGGGCUGGUAAAAGAGGAGAGAAGAACAGAGGUGUAAAAGAGGGAAAAGCUAAGAAAAACAGAGGAAAAGCCAGGGAGGAACAGAGAGAGAUUUUUGGGAGAGGAAGGAUUCGAGAGUGUGUUUUUCCAGGAGAGUGAGAAGGAGAGGUGAUGUUUGGGCGCUGCUGGAUUUUACAGAGGUAUCUUUAGAGAGGAUUCCUUGGCUUAAAAGGGGUUUUCCUUGCAGGAGACAAAGGAUGAAUGCGAUUUUGAGCAAAUUUCGGCAUUGGCGACAUGAAUGGGCUUAUAUAGCUGUCAAUAUUCAAGAGUUCUUGACGUUGGUGGGGUUUUUGAGGUCAAGCUACAGAUCUGAUUUGAAUGAUAAACGCAAAUGAGAGUUUGUUCCAUUGAGACUUGGUAUCCAUGCUGUCUAAACAUUGAAUCAGAAAUGGGCAGAGAGAUUAUUUUGAAAGAAAUAGAUUAAGGAGAAGGAUUCUAGUGAGGGUCCCCAUACCAUGUCUUGAUACCGGUUCAUGCAUAUCAUUAUUUAUCAUACCAGUGGCAAAUGUCAAUAUCCCAGAGGAAGAAGAGAGUACACUGAUUGAAGAAAUGUUGGUUCUUAAGGGAAUGAAAGACCCACUCUCGCUCUUGUAUUCUUUUGGCUAGACGAAUCCACUAGUAAACUGGUGGAUGAUGAAGACAGAUUGAUGGUUGAGAACCAUACCUCCAGUGUGGGCGCAUGCGAAUCUUGCCCGCUGCUGUUAGUGCGUUCCAGAUCCGGAAAGUCUUCAUAAAGGCCCCGCAUGGAUUUUAUGAGUUUAUGGAUGUACCCUUGCAGCUACAGCAUGUGCUUGCCCUACAUCUAGAGGAGCAUCCAGGGUCGAUUUCAGAUGGAUCCUUAGAGCACAAUCUAGAAGUAACUAUCGCAAAGGAUACAUGCACACAUCCUGGCGCUUUUAGAGAAUUGCAUAUACGUUGUGGGCAGCCAAAUGGUGCAAGGGCCCCAUCCUCUCAAGUGGUCAAAAACUGAAGAUGCCACGUAUUCCCGGAUCAUCAGAAGCUCCUAAGACGAACUGAAUGAUCUAGAGGAGGCUAUUCAACCUGAUUUAACUGGAAAUAAAUCAUCAAAGGAAUCAACUCGAGAUGGUCAUGCGUAGAAUGCAAAGAAUAGACAGAUCAGAUCCUCAAGGCGACCGUGGUCAUUCGUGGUGGCGUUCUGGCACAGAAUAGGAAUACCAGAUUGCAUUAUUUUGGGAGAUAGUAAAUGGUACAAAGGCUGUUCAUCCCAUCUGGAGGCGAAAGUAUUAAAAAAGGCAUGCAAAUUAUUCAAUGGCUGAGAAAGCGGCAGGUUCAAUAGCAGAGGAUAUGAUCGUCACCUACAUAAGGAAGUCAAAUGGGCCAAAGGGAAAUUUGAGGCAACUGGUCAUUCAAACAGUGCAUUCAUAAAAAUCACACCUGUGAGGGACCUCAGUUGCGAGCAUGUUUAGAAUCCUUUCCAGAAACUGUGUGAUCAUUUAAUGUGAUUUAUACCCAAGAUUUGCCUCUGGACUUUCAUGACGGAGAUAUCAUAGCGCCACGGGUUUUAGAUUAGCUGCCAAUGGCUAGUUGGAGGAGUAUAGGAUUACUUUUAAAGUCCUCAGGGGACUUGAAGAAUUUCCGAGAUUCGCAUGCAACCGUGGCUGUUGACUCACCUGAAAUCACAGCUGUUCAGUCUUCUCAAUGGAUCUCCAAGCCACGAGUUCAAGGUUAGGAGACAAAUAAAGUCAUCGUUUUCACUGAAGUUGGUGUUCAUUUGGCAUCUGAGGACAUAGCUUAAACAAUUGGGAAAUCCAUCGUCAGCAACUGUUUUGGGAAUGGAGACUGAGACCUCACCCAGAUCCCCAGGGGAUGUGACUAUACUGACUCGUUUGCACUCCAGACCCGUUCCCUCUCUCUAGCAUGGCAUGCAUGGCCACCUUUGGGCCACGUGUUCUCUCUUCUUAUUUCCUUAUUCUUUGAUUUUUGAAAUUAACUACCCCAAAUCUCAUGUGAUAAAUUCUUUUACGUUUUGGUUUUCAAAUAGUCUCAAUUAUCCCAUCCUUCUUCCUUAGCAUUUUUCUUUAAGUUUCAAAACCCCAUUUUCAAUAAAACGUUGCUGCCAUUUUUCUUCGGCAUGCAAUUUUGACAACUUCCAUGAUUUUAAAACGUUUUGAAAUAAACAUGAAUUCAAUUUUGUAAUUCCAAUUAAUGGAACUUAUGAAAUUAAUUCAUGCAAAAUAAACGGGCUUUGGUGGGGGGCCCGACAUAUGUGACUUCAUGAUUGACUGACUGAUUGAUUGAUUUGACUGCCAUGCAUAAUUGAUUUAUUCUGAUCCGUGACAUGCAUGAGAUUAUUUCUUAACUGUGCUCUAACCCUAUUUCUUGAUAGCGCAUGGCGGCUCGUCACCUAGGUACGUGUCCAGUCCCAUUCUUGUAAUUCUCUAUGCAAGUACUGAUUCUCAUAUGUGCGAUCAUGAUGAGUAUUCAAUGAUUUCAUCAUCAAUGCCACGUCAGCCUCAUCUUANNNNNNNNNNNNNNNNNNNNNNNNNNNNNNNNNNNNNNNNNNNNNNNNNNNNNNNNNNNNNNNNNNNNNNNNNNNNNNNNNNNNNNNNNNNNNNNNNNNNCAUGCAAAAUAAACGGGCUUUGGUGGGGGGCCCGACAUAUGUGACUUCAUGAUUGACUGACUGAUUGAUUGAUUUGACUGCCAUGCAUAAUUGAUUUAUUCUGAUCCGUGACAUGCAUGAGAUUAUUUCUUAACUGUGCUCUAACCCUAUUUCUUGAUAGCGCAUGGCGGCUCGUCACCUAGGUACGUGUCCACUCCCAUUCUUGUAAUUCUCUAUGCAUGUACUGAUUCUCAUAUGUGCGAUCAUGCUGAGUAUUCAUUGAUUUCCUCAUCAUUGCCACGUCAGCUUCAUCUUAUUAGUAGAGACCCGACUUUAGGGACUUAGAAGGGUGCUACGGUCUUUACCGUACCUUCCCGAUAAGUAACCUGACCCCCGAACCCGAUCCGGUUUUCAUAGACCGCCUUUUUUAAAAUAUGGAGUCACACUUAGGGUUUUUCUUUCUUAUUUUGUUUACCCUUUAAAAAUAAAACAAAAAUAAGUGGCGACUCCAAGUCAUUUUCAAAUAAUCAAUAAAAAUCAAUUUUUCAAAUAAUAAAAAUCGAGCUCGCCAUCGAGUGGGAAACGCAUUGAGCCGAAAAUGCGGGGUCCACACCUGUCAAUUCAUAAAGUUGCCUACUUUUUCUCUCCUGCCUCCUGGACAUUCUAACCUCAACUAGAAAGUUGGAUUUUAUUUGUGGCUUUUUUUAUUUUUUAAAUUUGGAGUCAUUAUUGGAGUAAGAUGUCCAAGUUAGAUGGUCUUGUCAUUAUAUUUAUGUAUGUUACCUUACAGGUACUUGGAAUCUACACCACUUUAUGUCCUAAAAUUUUGUGCCCUAAAAAGUUUUAGCAUAUACCAUAUUUGCAUACCAAUUAAAUAUCAUGUCGUUUUGCACAUACAAGACUUUAUUGAUCAACUCCGACCUCCAACUCAUGUAAACAUGGAUAGAUCCAUCCAACCAAUCGACAAGGUAGAAAAUUUUAUUAUAAGGGUAAAACAGAAAAAUCAUAAAUCAUAAUAAUAUUAAAUAUAAUUUCAGAUUUUAGUAUCAUUCAAUAAAACAAGUAUAUUUAUUAAUAUCAAUUUAUAUAAUUUUUUAUAAUAUAUCAAAUUAAAUAACAUAAACAAAUAAACUUUUGAUAUUAUGGUGAUUAUUCCAUCAUUAAGUUAAGCCAUAGGAUCAAAUCAUCAAACUUUGACAUAUAAAAUGUUGUCAUAAAUCUAGUUAGGCCACAAAUUUCUUUUACAUUUGUUUUUCAAGAUUACUAAUAAAUUUUUAAAAAUAAAAAACAUUUCUUUCUUUUUCCUCUUUUAUCAUGUUAAUAAAGAAAAAAAAUAUUUUCAAUUCAAUUUCUCCUCUUAUUGUAACAAAGGGAAAUAAAAUUUAUUAUUUUAUUAAUAUUUAAUUUCAGAUAUGAGAAUAUUAGUGAGCUUUGAGUAUUAUAUGAAAUUUCAAAUAUAUUGUGAAUCCAAGAAUUAAAAUUGAAUUAUUGUAAUUUUCAAUCAAAAUUCAUUAUAACUUACUAGUUCACUAAUCUUAGAGAUGAAUGGGACUUUCUAUGCAUAUGUAUUUACAUGUAAAAAGAGUUACAUCAUCUUUUAUCAAUGUGGAUGCAGCUGCCUAAUUUUAAAAUUCAAUGGGUUGUCAUUAUCACAUCAAUUAUUCUUCUUUCUCAUGCACCCCACAAAACAAGAAACAAUAUAAUUUGCCUCAAGAAACAACAUAUUUGAAAUUAUAUGGAAUUUAAAAUAUAUUGUGAAUCCAAUAAUUAAAAUUGAAUUAUUAUAAUUUCCAAUCAAAAUUCAUUAUAUUCACUACUUCGCUAAUCUUAGGAACGAAUAAGACAUUUCAUGCAUAUGUACUUACAUAUAAAAAGAGUUGUAUCAUCCUCCACAUGUGUGUGGAUGCGAUUGCCUAAUCUCCACAUAAUUUUUAAAUUCUUGUUAUUGUCACAUCAAUUAUUCUUCCUUUUCAUGCACUUACAAAGCAACAAAUAUCAUAAUUUGCCUUCGUCCACCUACUCACUGAAGUGCAACUUUUUUUUUUUCCUUUUUAUUUUUGUGUGCUUUAUUUCGUACAAAGGGCAAAAAUAUCAUGAUGAGGACGAAAAUAUUGUGUCCAAAAUGGCUUAGAGGGAAAAAAAUCAUUGAAUUAGGCCCAACUUGCGUAUUAAAUAAUACCUUAAGUUUUACAAUCUCUCAAAGUUUCCAUAUAUGAUUGAGUUCUUAUUUAUAUAAAAUGUAAAAAUCUCAUAUAUGAUAAGCAAUCAACUUAUUAUAUAUUAUAUAUGUGAUUAUAAUUGUUUAUAUAUAUAAUUAUUAUAUGAAUAUUUUUAUAUAUUAUAAUAUAUUUUAUAAAUUAAUAAAAAUAAAAUUAUUAUAAAUUAAUUAAUUUUAAAUAAUAAAAAAAUUGUAUCAAAAUAUUUAUCAAUAUUUUUAUGAUAUAUUCGAUAUAUCUAUAAAAUUCAAGUAUUAUAUAUAUAUGUGGUUAUUAAUAUUUUCAUCAUUAGUUUUAGCUUAUCCUAGUGCCUUAAAUAGGAUGCUUGAUUUUAUUUGUUUUUCAAUUCAACAAUGAAAUAAAAAUAAAAAUAUAAAAGAAUUCAAGUUCUUUUUUAAAAUAAAAAAUUUAAAUAUAAUAAAGAUUACUCAAAAUUAUGAUUAUAUUUAGGAAAUGUUUUUAAAAAUAGUUCUAAAAAAAUAAUCUUUGAUAAUUAUUUUUUAAAAUUAUUUUAUGAUGUUUUUAUAAGAAAAGUUUGUUUGAGGAUAUUUGAAAUACUGUAAACUUAUCUUUUAUAUUUUUAAAACAAUAUUUAUAUGUAAUAAUUUAUUUAUUUAAUCAUUCUUUAUAUUUAUAUAAAUACUUAUUAAAAUCAUUACAAAAAUGUAAGUGAAAAUAAGUAAAAACAAGUAAAAUAUGUUAUAAAAAAACAUCUUAUUUUAUAUUUUUUAAAAUUGAAUUUUUUUUUCAUUUUUUGCUAUCAAAUGUAAUAUGUUUUCCUCUUUUUGGUACUUCAAAACAUAAAAUUAUUUUCGAAAACAAAACAUAUCCUCUACAUUUCAAAGUUUUCAAAUUUUUCCUAAAAGGAUAAAUUUGAAAAAGCAUAUACAAAAAUUUUAUUUAAUAUAAUCCUAUUUUUUAUAAUUUCCUUUCCACUUGUCAUUGUGGCUUCCAAUUUUAGUCACAAUUAUGAACUGUAAGAGGCAAUUGAAUUCAUGCACACGUACUAUUUUAUCCAACAUUAACUUUUAGAAAUAUUUGAUUAAAAUAAUGAAAUAAUACCAAUAUUUGGAAAAAUAAUUUUUAUAGUUGGACAUUGCUUCUUCAACUCAGCUGCCACCAUAUUAAAAACCGGUCUUGUCAUGCAUCCGAAGCCGAAACCUGAGCCAGAUACUUGUGUGGGAUCCUCAGGAGCUUCUCGCCGAUCAUGAUAUCUGUGACACAGUGACACCUAUGUAGUAAUACACAGGAAAUUAGUCAUCUGGGUUCUUGAGAAAGGGAGUGUAGCUAAGUCCUUCGGUUUCGCCAUCACGGUAAUCCAACAUCAACACGACAUUUUUCGGGGUUUCGUCGAAGUCGUGAGAAUUGAGACAGCAAGCGAACAGAGACGUAAGCAGAGUAUAUAUAGCAUCGAGUCAUUCCCAUCUCCUCCCCAUUCUUAUCAUUUUCUUAUUCAAUGAGUGUCAUUUGCACAUCCAUUCUUGUUGUUCUUAUACAACCCAUAAAACAUCAUCGUCAACGCAUUAUAUGACCCGCAUUAAAUGUAUAAUAUUUAUAAAUUGAAAAAUAUAUAUUUUUAAACUUUUAUAUUAAUUUUUACCCCCUUUUUUUUAUAGGAUUUUGCUAUUAAUGACUGUCACUUAUCAAUUUCCUUCAUAAACAACACAGCAUAAAAAAUCUUGUUAAUUUUAUAUAAAAUUACACCCCAUACAAUUAUAAGCCUAAUAAAUCCACAAAUCAUUUUUUUUUGUAUAAAUUUAUAUCACAUACAACUUUAAACCUAAUAAAUCAUCCAACGAUUUUAACAAGAAAAUAAAUUUACACAAUAACACAUUUACAUAAACCAAUAAAAAUAAAACUAAAUAAAAGUGAAAAAUAAAAUAUGUACCAAAACAAGCCUAUAAUAAACAUAAUGUUCCAUUUGAGUCUCAUUUUUAUUUGUGAGAUUGAACCUUCCACAUGUCAUGAAUGAACCAAUAAAAAUAAAAUUAAAUAAAAAUGGGAAAUAAAAUGUGUACCAAACAAACCUAUAAUAAGUCUAAUGUCCCAUUUACAACAUUUUUAAGUCUUAUUUUUUUUCAUGAAAUUUAACUUUCCACAUAUCAAGAAUGUGUGCUCAACCAAUCGAUAGGAGUAGUGGUGAAUAGUAUCACGCAAAACAAAAAUGAACCAAAAAGUAAAUAUCCAAAAAUGUAUAAAGCUUUUCAAUAAGCCCCAAAACAAACUUCAAAUCAAUCUAAUAAAUUUCAUUAAUAAAAUAGACCAAAUUAGCAAAUGUAGUACAACAAAUCUAUUUUUCAAAUUAAUAACCAAAAUAUAAGGACAAACCUAAAUAUAACAAAUCAAAAUAAAUCAAAUUAGAGCUAAAUUUAAUAUAGUAUAAUCCAAACUUAAUUUAAUAAGCAAACUCAAGUCCACUACUAAAACCAAACUCAAUUUAAUAUGCAAAGCCUAAAAUGACAUCUAAAUAUAUACCAUAAUUUUCUAAUAUCUAAAUUCAAUAAUUCAAAUGAGUAAAACUCAUAUCAAUUAUUGACUCAUGUAACAAAUUUCACCAACAAGAAAUGAGCUCAAAUUCCAUGUUAAUUAAUAAGUCCAAAAUAUAAAAAAUCAAAAUAAAUUCAAUUAGAACUAAAUUUAAUAUCUCAUAAAUAAUGCAAAAUAAACUAUUACUCAAGUAAUAAAAAAAAAAUUGCAAGCCAAAAAUCCAAACAUAAUAGUAAUGAAUAACAAUAAUAUAUAUAAACCAACCAUAAAUCCGAUCAAAGAUUCUAAUAGCACAAUAUCCAUAGAUAAAUCCAAAUUGAAUUACACAAACAUGCCCACAAUCAGAUACAAUUAAAGUAAAAGGAAAUUUAACCAUUUUUUAAGAACCUAUGAAUGACCUGAGUUGCUAGCCGGCAAUGGCGGCAGUGGCUGCUGGUAGUGAAGGGUGGUGGAUGGAGAGAGAAAAUGGGUAUGAUGAGAUGAGAGAAGAAAAAGGAAAGAAGAAAGAAAAGGGAAAUAAAUGAAAAAAAAAUGAGAAGGAAGGAAGAGAAGGGUGUUUGGAUGGAGAGAUAAUGAGGGAAAUGAAGAAAAGAAAGGGGAGUGACGGAUAGGGAGAGAAGAAAAUAAAGGAAAGGAAAAAAUGGAAGAAGAAAAGAAGAAAAAAAGAGAGAAAAAAAAAAGAGUGGGGGGAAGAGUCUUCUGGCCGUGGGAAUGGGAUGAGGGAGGAAGAAGAAGAGAAAGAAAAGAAAAGGGAGGAAAAUGGGGGAAAGAAGGAAGAAAAAAAAGAGGAAAAAUGAAAAAGAAAAUGGAGGAGAAGAAAGAGACGGGAGGGGAAUGUGCAGGAGGUUAGUUGUGGGAACGAGGGGUACGGACAAGAGAGGGAAAUGAGGGAGUGACUGGGUGGAGUAAGCGGGAAAAAAGGGAAAGGAAGACGAAUAUAAAAUAAAAUAAAUAAUAAUAAUAAUAAUUUAAAAUAUAUAAAUGGAUUGAAACAUUCAUAUGUAAUUGGGUUUGAAUUUUAAGAAUAAAAUUAAAUUUAUAAUUAAUAUAAAAAUAAAUUCAAAACAAAUUUUAAGAUUUAUAGACUUCUUAUUUUAAAAAUAUUAAUGUGUAAAAUUGUUAUAUAUGUAAUAUCGAUAAAUAAGAAACUCAAAAUAUGAUAAAAUAAUAAAUAAAGCAUUAUACUUUAUUUCCAAACAUAUCAUUUUUUUUUUCAAUUUUUCUAUUAAUGCAUAUUGAAUAAUACUAACUGUUACGACAUUUAAAGUAUAUAUUGAUAUAAAAAGUAAUCCCAUUUUUUCUUUUAUACCAACUUCUAUAUAAUGAAACUUCUUGCCAUAAACAGAAUUUGCUUUGUUUUGAUAACGGAUUUUACUUUUUUUAUUUUAAGUCAUAUCUCUAUCUACCCGGAAUCAAGUUUGACCUCAUGGGAUUGAAGUAAAAAAAUUACAAACUUGCAAUAAUAAUACUUCAUAUUUUAGAAAUAAUACUCCCACUAUCAUUCAAUAAAAUAAAUAAUUAUUAUUAACAUUAAUUUAUAUAAAAGAAAUAAAAAUUUUAUAACGUACCAAAUUAAAUAAUAAAAAUACUAAUAAAAAUGUUUUUGAUUUUAAGGUUACUCUAUAACAUGUUUCAAGUAUCAAAUAAAUAUUUGUUUUAUAAAAUAUUAAAUAAUAAUUUUUAAAAGCUAUUUUCAAAUAUUGUUUUAAAAAAUAGUUACUAAAUAAGAUUUAAAUAUCUCAUUUAAAAAUGUGAUUUCCAAUUCCAAAAGUAUCAUAGUGGAAAUUCCUUACUUAACGUCAACGAAUAAGAAAGUAAAAUUAUAAAUAAAAAACAUUAUAUUUUCUAAACAUUUCAAAAUUUCCCAUUUUAUUAUUAAUACAGAUUGCAUUUGUAACAACUACAAUAAUAUCAAAUGAAGUAUAAGUGGUACUUGACAGAAAAAUUUAUUGUUAUGUAACACUAAGGAUCAUAAAGCAUAAAUAAACUUUUAAAACAAAAAUCCUUUUGAAUUAUAAAUAUUAGACAUAUGUGAUAAUAAUAAUUUUAUUUUCUAUUUUUUCAAAAAAAGAAAAGAAAAAUAAGGACAUAUGUGAUAAUUAUAAUUCUAUUUUCCAUUUUUUUUAAAAAGGAAAAUAAGAACUUUUUACUAAUUAAUUAUAAUAAUAAGUAGAUUUUUUUAAUGAUUUCUCAAUAUCCGUCUAUGAGUUGCAAUUACUUUUUAAUAAUUGCAUACGAGACUCUAAUUUUAUUAGUUUAGUAUACAUGAAUACGAGGGACAAACGAGUGUAAUUUCCCAUUUUAAUUUAUUUUUUUAAAAUCCUGAGGAUAAUUUUAUUUUUUUUUAAAUACAUUUUAAAUUUUUUUCUACUAAAAUUUGGGAAAGAGAAAAGUAAAAAUAUGUCAUGAACAUGAUUUAAAAAAAUUAAUUUAUAAUUUUUUAAUUAUAAAGACAAAAAUGCCAUCAAAAGCGACUAAAUUUAUAUUUAGUACACUUCUUUUAUUCAGACUGGAGAGCUUAAACACAGCCUUUCCAGUGGUCCAACAAUGAAGGCAGGUACGUAGUUAAGGGUGGGCGGUAUUCUCCCAACUGCCAUCGGACUGGUACACUACUUAACAAUACACGCUCCUCCUAGGUUGCUAUUAUCAACUAUUUCUGCCCAGCACAAAUCUUUAGCCAGUGGCAGUGAUGUCAUCGACUAGCAAGUUUGUUGUCGGAAACCAAGACGCUCAUUUUUUUAGGUCAAACUCCACAUAAUAAUCCACGUGCUGAUAAUUCCCCAGAAUAAUAGACGGUCCCGGAGUGAAUUCCAAGGUGCUGGUGCCUGCAUCAGUGACGACAGGGAAACAAGCCAAGCUUAUCUCAGGAAUAAACACAAAAUAAUUCUUUCCUGGCACCACCAUAUUUGCGCCACCUCUAAAUUGGUAAAUUAAGUCGGGGAUUUUUAUGGAUUUGUGGCCUGUGAAAUUAUAACAAGGUGUGAAACCGGACAGGGUUUCUAGCUCAAGAGAUCUCCUAUACUUGGACAUCUGCUUUUUCAACUCAUUUGUCACUAUCUUAAAAACCGGUCCUGUCAUGUAUCCGUACGCGAAACCAGAAUCUAUCAUGAGACCACCUCGGCCGUCAG
RNAcentral lists this long non-coding RNA (51521 nucleotides) under Vitis vinifera (wine grape). RNAcentral's name for it is "long non-coding RNA (VVIN_LNC002598)". Lineage: Eukaryota; Viridiplantae; Streptophyta; Magnoliopsida; Vitales; Vitaceae. The record is from RNAcentral.